UUUUUUUUUUUUUUUUUUUGGUCAGACUCUUUAGCUAAUAACUUUUUGAGACUCUGAAAUUAUCAUCUUGAUCUUUUUAUUCCUUUUAAUCCCACUCCUCGAGUUUUGUCCUAAUAACUUAUUGACACUGUUAAACUAUCCUCUUGAGAGAAACUUGCGGCUUCUGAGUAGUGGAGCUGUUGCAAGGUUGUUGAAGCGUUGGUUGCACUGGUAGUGUGGCGGGAAAAAGAACUUUUGAAUUUGGUUUAUCACCCCCUACAUUUGAUAUGAUUAAGCAGAUUUCGUCGCUUUGUGUUUGUGUAGUAGACUGUAGACAUUGAAAUUGCCGACCAAGUUUCCACGUGGCAACCUCUCUUUAAGCCAAUGCAAUUUGGUUUAUCGUAUAGCGUAUAACUCGAUCCAUCCAUGUGUUGACCGAUAAGUUAAACCUCCUCCUCUAUGGGAUCGACCGUGUCCUAUAUACAUAUAUGUUGUAGCUAAUUGCAAGAAGCAUUUUGCAGCUGCAGUUAACCAAAUCCAAAAGAGCUCGAGCGACCUAAACCCUCAUAACCCUAAACGCGGGCCGUAGAUACAUAGAAAUAGUACCAUGAAUUCGAAUUCUAUACCGAAUGGCGCAAGCUUAAGGGGUGGUAGCAGGAGGAGAGUUCCCGGGAUACCUUUGAUCAACGGAGGACGGAAGGAUGACAGAGAUCACGAUCAAGAUCUUAUUCUGUUCCAGGAGUUGCAAAAGCGCGAAAAAGAACGCAAAAUCGUCAGCCUCCUCCAAUCUGUUUCUGACGAGUUUGAGCCAAAUGGUACGUACGGUACUGCUGCAUAUUAUUAGCAUAUAUAUAUAUAUAUAUAUAUAUAUAUAUAUUAACUCAUAAUAAUUAUCAUAAUACAUAUUGAAUUUUAGGAGUUAAAAGAUAUACUUUCAGAAUUAUAUAUGAAUAUUUCAUAUAUCCUUCAUUCGUUUCUUAAUUUGAUUCAUGUACUAUAGCUAGCCAUAGCUAGCCCUUUGAUUCAUUUGCUAUAGCUAGUCCUAGCUCUGGUACAUUUGUUUUGUUGGUGAUAAAAUUUACUUUGAGAAAAAAAAAUUGCACGCAGGAAACUAUCAGCUUUACAGAAUUGAGUCUGCCAAAAAGGGAUUUGAAAUUUUUGCCCAAAAUGACAAGAACGACUAUGAUUGGUAGGCCUUCUUUAUUGAUCCCCUUUUUUACUGAUCCAUUAAUUUGAUGUCAAACUAAAUUUAAUUUUAAUUACUAGUUUUGUUUAUGUUUCUAGCUUCUUAUAGAGAGAGAUGAGACAUAAAAUAAAUAAAGCAAAGCUAGAAAAAGGGUGAUCAAUCCUAAGUUUUUAAGUUUUAAUUACUGAACAAAUUAUGAGUUUUUAAUUAUAAAAUUGUCUAGUUGUUGACUAAUAGUAGCUAAUAUAAAUUUCCUCGUCUUAUGUACAUCAAUCAAGGUUGAAAACACCACCUGCAACUCCUCUUUUUCCAUCUCUUGAAAUGGACACAAAUGGCCCUGAAUUAGUUGUUCAAAGGGAAAUACCAAUCAUUCAACCUCUUACGCGGGUAUGUAAAUGUUAGUCACUAGCUACUAAUAUUUACAAGAGAUCAUUUUUUUUUUAAUUUCAUAAAAUUCAUACAAUCUGUUUUUUUUUUUUUAUCAAUGUUCAUGAAGUUCAUAUAUCGAAAUGAUUAAUUGUGUUUUAUAACCGAAAAAAAUUAAUACUUUUUAGUAAGCUAUUAAGAUUAUAAAUUUUUGUAAUUUCUUAGAGCUCAUUUGAAUGUACUUUUAAAAUAAUUGAAAGCGGUUUUAGAAGAAAAAGAAAUUUAGGUUCCAAAAGCAUUUUCAGUGCUUUGUGCAAGAAACACCAGUUAUAUGCUUCUUCCAAAAAGUAUUUAAGUGUUUUUCCAGGAUUUACUUACAUAUUUACUAAAGAUUGAUUUUAAAAAUAUUUUCACAAAAAGUGUUUUCAGUUAUUUUAAAAGUACAUCCAAACAAGUUCUUAGUCAGUCAAAAGUGGGACCUAAUUUCGUUAACAGACAAUUGAAACAAUAAAUUUUAAAUUAUGGCAAUUGAAGUUCAGGUUUUCGAAUUAAAAAUUGUAUCAUUUCAUAUAAUAAUUUGAUUUAAUGUGGAGCAUGGUUCUUUUUAACUGACUCUGUUAGUUUAAAAGAUUAAAAAAAAAAAAGACCACAUCAAUAAUGUGGUUCAUUUUCCUUUAGUAAGAAUCAAACUUAAGACUUCUCAUUUACAAGUGAAGAAAAAUAUUAUUAGACCAUAAUACUAAGUGACAUAGGUAAUUGACUAAAACAAGAACGUAAUUGGCUAAAAGAACUAAUGCUCCACAUUAAGGCAAAUCCAAAUAUAACGUAUUUAUAAUUCUAGAGAAAAAGCUCCGACUUGAUCAUAAUUUAGAGAUCCUUCGCAUGCGGCGUGCCAUAGUAACUAAUGGAAGGAAUUACUAGUAAACAAACAUGGAUGAAACCAGUUUGCAGGUGGCAAUUGCAACACAGAGGCAGUUGAACCAAGAAAUGGGAGGCCCAAAUCUCCAAAACCAAAACCGAAAAUCCCGGUGAGAAGAAGUGUCACCCCGAGUCAAAGACGAAGCAGCUACAGCAGCACAGGCACAAGUGUAUUAUCCAAGGCCCAAACAAAAAACAGAACGACACCAGUCGCAGUUGAUCCUCGCCUGAACCAGAAACCAGCAACGAAUAUUAAUAUUAUUAGGCCAUCAGCAUCCGUUGACACAAGAGCAAAAAGAUCAGCAAAUUAUAACGUGGUCGGUGAAACAUCAGCUCCAGUAGAUUUCUUAUCCUCCUCGGACAUGGCAAUGGGAUUGGGAGGAGUGUUGAAGAUGGAAUAUUCGAAAACAAAGGCAACGGGGUCAGCAACAACAACAACUACUACAACUACUACUACUAGUAGAGGUGUCUCUGCUGCCUCCACUGAUCAUCUAAUUGUAGAUGGAUUUUCUAACGAGAAACCGGCUAAUGUGAGGACAGAACAACGCUCGACUUCUGCUACACGAGGAGGACGAGGUAGAACUAGUACGACCCCGACUCACCUGAUCCAGUCCAAAGCAGCUGCGCCAGCACCUGCUUCAAAACCAAUAAGGAAGCAGUCAUGCUCACCAAGCAUCUAUAGCGGUCGGAAAGUACUGGAAGGCACGAUCCAGGUUCAGGACAUUACUUCUAUGAAAAUUCACAGCAGCUUGAAUAAUACUCCAAGUUUAAAAGGAAGAAUUCAAACAGGAAACAAUGGAACCCAAGUUCUGGGAAGCAGAAUGGUGCAGAGAGUGAUGAAUGCUAGAAAAGAAGAUCAUAAAAAACCAAAUCCGCGGUUUCUGAUUAAUAUUAAUCAAAACUCUGGUUUUGGAAGAAUGCACGGUACUCAUGCCUAGCUAAGACUACGUACAAUGGGCAAUGGACAUACCUCCAAGAUCUUCUCAAACAUGCACAUGCAUAUGGAACGUACUUAUAUAUGCUGCUUAACUUUUUCAUGUUUUCAAUUUCAUAUCUUAGUAAUUUGUAUCCUAAAAAUCAGAAUGGUUUAUAUAUCUCCCGUUCAACCAUUAAAUAGUUUUACUGCUAAUUAAAUGAUGAUGAUGAUGUAGUUGUCGAGGCUCUCAUUUAGUUAUCGAGCCUCCCGUUCAACCAGUAAAUAAUUUUAGGGGUUUUUUAACUUUAAUCAUUCAAGAAUAUUGAAAUUUAAAAUAAACUUAGUGUUAGAUUACUUAUUGAUUAUAAUCCAUUGAUGCGUCCUUAAAUCAAAAUAAUUAAUGUGCAUUUUAUUUAAUGUCUCUCAUUAAAUAUUUAAGUUUAUUAAUAUACAAAUUAAAAAAAAAAAUUUACCAAAAAAGAGUUUUUUAAUUUAUUAAUUUUAUUUAACAUUCUUCAAACUUGAAAGACUCAAUUAAUGUACUUAAAUGUGUGUACCGAAAUGUAUGUACCGAAAUAUAUACACCGAAAUGUAUUAUAUUAAAUUAAUGUACCUAAAUUUAUGUACCAAAAUGUUAGUACAAAAAUGUAUUAUAUUGAAUUAAUGUAUCUAAAUGUUUGUAUCAAAAUGCAUGUACCAAAAUGUGUGUACCAAAAUUUAUACACCGAAAUCUAUUAUAAUGAAUUUAAUGUACCUAAAUGAAGAAGACAAAGUACAUCGAAAUAUAUUGUAUAACAAAAAUUAGUUUAUCUAAAUGUUGACAAUAAAAUAUAUUAGGAUAAAUGAAAUGAAAAUUAUAAUGAAAUAAAAUUAAUACAUUAAAAAUUAGGAAGAAAGAGAGAAACAAUUAAAAAUCAAAAUAGAAUUAAUAAAAUGAGGUUAUUAUUUUGAUCUUACUCAUGGUUUUAAUCUAAAAGUCAUCUUUGCCAAUGAUUAAAAUGAAGUUCUCUAAUAGUGUUACUACCAAUAUCACUCAGAUUAAUCUUAUCGUAGAUUAAGCUAUCAACUUAAAUGAUCCUUAUUACACCGAAAAACAAUAAUUCUAUGAAGUGAUUAAAUUAAAAAAAAAUCUCGCGUGAAACCUUCCGUCUUUUCCCUUACCUUCACUCUCUCCCCUUCCACUCUCCAUCUCUCUGGAUUGUUCACUCCCUUCUCUCCUUUAAGUUUUUUGUUUUUUCUUUUUCACCUAUGAAAAAGGGAGAGGGACCUGUUUCAAGUUUUUCACCAUCGUCGGACAACUAUUUCUGAAACACACAAUCGAUUUUUUUUUUUUGUGGUUUAUAACUAACUGAGUUUGAAUAUUACUGAUAAAAGUUUGGAUAAAACUGGUUUUAUGCAAUUGGAUUUGCUGGGUUUAGAUAUUUGAUGAGGAGACUAGGUUUUGCAGAUGGAAGGGAUUCAACAUGACGUGAAACCCUUUUUUUUUAUCAACUAGUAUUUUGUUUUCAUGUAACAAAAAUUAUUUAAAUUGAUAGUUUAAUCUACAGUAAAAUUAAAAUGAGAACUCAUAUAUAAAAAGACCUCACAGGUCCUCAAAGUGAAGACAUUAGGAUAGCAGCUUGUAAAUGGUAAGAGGAGAAAGAGGGCAUUAAAUUGUUAAUUAUUAGGGUAGGGGUGGGCAAAACAAUUGAAGAACCAAGAAAUCGAAUCGAGGAAGAAGAACCAGAGUUGACCAAAGCAAACAAAAACCAAACGAAUACCAAACCGACUUGAUUCGAUUUCGGUUUUGAUUUUUAUUUGGGGAUUCUAAAAACCGGUUUUGACUGAACCGAAUCAAUAUAAAUAUAAAUACAUGUGUAUUAUAUUUUUGAAUUAAGUACCUAAAACUCCCCAACCUUUUAGUGUCAUUCUAAAUUGGUCUCAACCUUUUUAGACAUUCUAAACAUGUACCCAACGGUCUCAACCUAUUAAAAAUGUCACAUCUGUUAAGCCCCAGUUAAUUUUUCAAACAUAUAUUAUAUGCAAAAUCCACCAAUUAGAUAUAUCAUGGACAAUAUUAAUAGUAGUUGCCUCAAAAUCUAAAUUUAAACAUAGAUUAUAUAUUCUUGAACCCAAUGAUCAAACAUGUAUUGAAUUGAAUGAAAAUGGACCCAAAUUGAAAUACAUCAGGAGGGCAAUCUCUGAACAUAUAAGAAGGUUAAGAAUUCUAAUAGGGUUUCACGAAGUUUGUUUUUACUCAUGCGAUUUCCUCAUUUGCCAAUUCUUGGCUCUCGUAAAGCUUUCAGUUCUUUGUUUCUGCUCAUGUGUGUCCGCAUCAUGGCAGUCCAUACCAUUUUAGCAACCACCAUGACCUUCUUAAUGUUGGCAGCUUGAGUGUAAGGGUGGAGUUUGUGGUUUUGCGUUGGGGUUUGGAGGUGAUGGCAUGAUGAGGAUGGUGGCAAUCGUUAGUUAGUAGAGGCUAUGGUUCCAUGACCUUCCAUUGAUUUUGGAGAAAAAGUAAGCCUAGUUAAUUUAACAGAUUUUUAAUUAAGGCUUAACGGAUGUGACAUUUUCAAUAAAUUGGGUACUAGUUUGGAAUGUUUAAAAAUUUUGAGUUCAAUUUGAAAUAAUACUAAGGGUGCGUUUGUUUGCACUCGCUAGCAUUCACUAGACUGGAUUAGAUUAAGUGGGAAUGCAGUGCCGUGUUUAUUCCACCCCGAGACAAGUUUUAAUGAGACUCGCCCCGACUAACCAAGAUUAACGGCUUCACUAGAGGGUCUUAGCGAGACCCCCCGAAAUCGGCCGGAUUCCUAAGACCAACUCCAUGCUUCGCCACCGCCCCCCUCUGCUUCCUACUUGUUCCUCGCAAAAUUCAAAACCCAUAUCCCAUUUACCAACUCUGCUCUGCUUCGCCCCUCUUGUAUACCAUUUUCAAACCUAAAUCCCUCAAAAUUCGAGAACAAAAAAGGAAAAAAAUUAUGCACUCUUUCCAUUCUCAAAACCAUAUCCCAAACCCAAAAUUCGAUACAAAAACAAAAAACAAAAAAAAAACCACUAUGCGUAUGAAAAGCACGGCAGUCAUCCAUUCACACAUGCACUUCAGACUCCCUAAUCGCAGAACUUCGUCGUUGACGCUGGAGAAGCAGAACGAUGAGUACCCAUAUGACUCAAACUCUUAUAUGGGUUCUGAUUUGCCAAUUGCGUCUUAGAAAAAUUAGCAAAAGAAACAAGGGAGAUGAAUGGAGAAAAAUAGGAAGAAAAAGGUGAAGAUGAAAAGGGAGAGGGACAAAGAAAAAGAGGGAUUAUGACAGAGAAACUUAUUAAGGGUGGGGGAAAUGAACAGAAAAGAAAUAGGAAAGCACUACAGAGGUUUCUAAAGAGGAAAAAUAUAGAAAAAAGUAAGAAUAAAAUAAUAAUAAACCUGAAUUAAUAAUAUAAAAUAAUAAUUAUAGUGAAUUAAAUAAUAUAGUAUUAGAAUUUGUUAUUGUUUUUAGUUUUUAAUCCGACACUACACCAAACUAUUCACUAAGUUAGUCUAAGUUAGUCUAGUUUAAGCCAAUCCAGCUUAAUCCCCAAAGUUAAUCCAGUCCGAGAUAGUCCGACACAACAAACGCACCAUAAAAGGUUGAGGGGUUUUAGGUACUUAAUCAUAUAUUUUUUUAACAAUAUAUGGCCCUUAUGAAGUGCAAAUUUAUUAUUUUUUAAGCCCAAUAUUCCUAAGCCUAAUUACCAAACCCUAAUCUACUACCCUCCCUCACCUCAAUCCUCAAAAGAGCCAUCUCUCUUUCUCUCUUCCCUUUCUCUCCAUCCUUCUCUCUCUCUUCCUCCCUCACCACACUUAACCGACUAGCAUUACCUUCUUUUCUAUAUCUCCAUCUCUCUUUGUCCGUGUUUUAACCUCUCUAUCUCUUCUUCAUUUCUCUCUCUCUUUAGUCCCGUUGUCUGCACCUCAAACUCUCUACCAUACUCGACCGACUGGGCGAUUUCUCCGCCAUCUCUUCCUGCCGAUUCAGUCCCCACCUAUUAUAUCUAAUCCUAUCUCAAAGUUGCAAAGCCAAAACCCUCGCCAGCAUCUCUAGAUCUAAUUUUGAAUGGGAAAUAUGCUUAAAAUCGAGAACCAAGCGAAUCGAACCGAAACUGAGGCGGUCCAAUUUUGUUCAAUUUUCCCUUGCAAUUUUCAGUUUAUGAAUCAAACUAAUUAUAUGACUCCAGUUUGGUUCAUGAUUUUAAGAGUGAGUUGGACUGAACUGAACUGUGCCCACCCCUUAUUUGUGGAGAAUAAGGGCUUUAUUAUGGUCAUAUAUAUUUCUUUCAAAAACAUACAACAACAACAACAAAGCCUUUUCCCACUAAGUGGGGUCGGUUAUAUGAAUCCUAGAACGCCAUUGCGCUCGGUUUUGUGUCAUGUCUUCCGUUAGAUCCAAGUACUCUAAGUUUUUUCUUAGGGUCUCUUCCAAAGUUUUCCUAGGUCUUCCUCUACCCCUUCGGCCUUGAACCUCUAUCCCGUAGUCACAUCUUCGAACCAGAGCGUCAGUAGGCCUUCUUUGCACAUGUCCAAACCCAUUUUGUGUACGUGUUGAUGCUUCAUCGCCCAUCAUUCUGGGCCAUACAGCAUCGUCGGCUUUAUUGUCGUCCUAUUAAAUUUUCCCUUGAGCUUUAGUGGCCUACGACGGUCACACAACACGCCAGAUGCAAUCUUCCACUUCAUCCAUCCAGCUUGUAUUCUAUGGUUGAGAUCUCCAUCUAAUUCUCCGUUCUUUUACAAGAUAGAUCCUAGGUAGCGAAAACGGUCGCUCUUUGGUAUUUCCUGAUCUCCGAUCCUCAUCCCUAACUUAUUUUAGCCUCCAUUUGCACUGAACUUGCACUCCAUAUAUUCUGUCUUUGAUCGGCUUAAGCGAAGACCUUUAGAUUCCAACACUUCUUUCCAAAGGUUAAGCUUCGCAUUUACCCCUUCCUGAGUUUCAUCUAUCAACACUAUAUCGUUUGCGAAAAGCAUACACCAAGGAAUAUCAUCUUGAAUAUGUCCUGUUAACUCAUCCAUUACCAACGCAAAAAGGUAAGGACUUAAGGAUUGUUGAUGCACAAAAUCAGUGAGGACUUUGGUACAACAGAAAGUAUUAAGUUUGUGAUCUUCGCUAGAUUGCUCUAGUCAUUAGUGUGGAUAAGUAUGUAAAUGGAUAGAGGCAGAAAAGCAAACACAAGAUGUACGUGGUUCACCCAGAUUGGCUACGUCCACGGAGUAGAGGAGUUCUUAUUAAUUGUGAAGGGUUUACACAAGUACAUAGGUUCAAGCUCUCCUUUAGUGAGUACAAGUGGAUGAUUUAGUACAAAUGACAUUAGGAAAUAUUGUGGGAGAAUGAUCUCGUAAUCACGAAACUUCUAAGUCCCGAAGUGUGGUAUCGUCUUCACUUGCCUUAUCUGUCUCAAAGGUAGAUGUGGCAUCUUCUCUGGAAGUACUCUUCCUUCAUCCAGGGGUGGUAUCUUUAACUGGUAGAGAUGCACAAGGUAAUGUAUCAAUUUCACUUGAAGCUUACUUGUAGUUUCAGGCUUGGUCAAGCGCGAUACAAACCAUGUAGUAGGAGUCCCCCAAGUCGUCGAGCUAGGGGAUCUGCUGAAAGAGGUGACAGACAAGGUAAGCAAUCAGAGCUCCAAGCAAUGAAUCCCAGAUCAGAAGUUUGAUUUCGAGUUCCGGCUGAUUGUUCUCAUUCUCCCUAUCUUGCAGGCAGCAUGAAGGAUAAAGAGAAGAAAAUGAGAAUAGAUGAUAUGAGAUGCUUUUGUUUUUAAAGAAGUAACUUUCCAUAGGCUUAUUCUUGAACUGGGCUGGAGGGUUUUCUGGUUUCCUCCAGAGUAUAAGGCCGACUGAAGAAUUUGAGGGUCAAAACAAGUCCAUCAAAUCUGGAGUACGGUCGACCCUGCUGAUAUGAGAUACUUUUGAUGUUGACAAAGUAGUGGAUGCAUCGGCACAUGUUAUGUUACGCUUGUCUCUACAUGCUUCCUUAUAUCCUUCUCACUUUCCCUAUCUGUUCCUCAGGCAGAUGUGGUAUCUUCUCUGGAAGCAGAAGAUGUUGAAGAUGAGUACUCGAAAGCAAUGCCAGGUAAGUAAUCAGGUAAGGGGUUCCAGGCAAUCAGUUCCUGACUGGAAGCUUGAUACCAAGUACUGACUGAUUGCUCUCUUUCUCCUUGUCUUGCAGGUAAGAACAAGGCCAAAUGAAAAGAUAGGGAAAAAGUAUGAUAUGGGAUACUCUUGCUUUUAACCCUGAUGAUAUGAGAUAUUCUUGCUCUGGUGUAGCUUGUUUACAGAGGUAUUAUCGGGGGGAAAGAAAGCUGAGUAUUUCGAGAGGCUUCGUUGGGAGUGCCCUCUCAGAUAUGAGGAAGGGUUGAACAUUUUUGCAGGUCUGCCUGUCCGUUGAGGAUGGAGGUCGACAUAUAUAGGAGUCUCCCUAACAACAAGUAGUACAGCUAUUCCUUUACCCUGCUUGGUCAUAGCACGGUACUGGGAGCUGCCAGCUUCACAUGUGUCAGAGCACUUUGAAAAAAUGGUCUGUGAUAUCUGGAAAGCUGAUGUUACGUGUGAAUUACAAGCAAGCUUUAUCCAAGAAGAUCUGGCUCUCGAAGUUGAGAAAGCGGUGCCUCUUCGGCUUUCGAACAAGCAAUCCUGUCAGGGAUCUGGCUCUCGAGAUUCAGAGAACGGUGCCUCUUCGAUUUUUAAGAUAGCAAUCCUGCUGGGAGUCUGGCUUUCGAGCUUCGGAUAGUGGUGUCUCUUCAAUUUUUUAGAAAGUAAUCAUGUUGAGAGUCUGGCUCUCGAGAUUCGGAGGGCGGUGCCUCUUCGAUUUUGGAGCAAGCAAUCUUGUUGGGAGUGUUUCUCGAAUGUGAGUAAAGGUUAGGCAUGUUUGCUAGUCUACCUUGCCACGGAGCACAGAGGUUGACACACAGGGACUUUCCAAUUAUCCAGCAGUGGUGCUGUUCCUUUACCCUUGUGGGUAAUAAUAUGGUAGCUAGACCUUCAAAAUUUAUGUGUCUAAACUUUGUUAGUGCUGUUUCUUUGCUAUUCUUUUACCCUUGGUCAUAACGAUGUAGUGGGAGCUGCAAGCUUCACGUGUCUAAACUUUGUGAGAGAUCUUUGGCAAAGUUAUCUGUGGUACCCAUUAGCUGAUGGUGCGUGUGAAAAGUGAAUGAUUGAACAAUAUGAUUUACGUGCUUUCUACUUCACUAGAAAUCUUCAACAAAAUGCCUGUAAUUUCAGCAAAGCUGAGUGUGCAUGUGACAGGUGCUGACAAGGCUGAAAAAAGCAAGUGCCUCUUCGAUUUCUGGGAUCGGCCUUCGUGGUCUUUGAGCAGCCCAGCUUUUAAGAAAGCAAGCGCCUCUUCGAUUUCUGAGAUCGGCCUUCGUGGUAUUUGAGCAGCCCAGCUUUUGAGAAAGUAAACGCCUUUUUUAUUUCUGCGAUCGACCCUCGUGGUCUCUGAGCAGCCCAGCUUUUGUGAAAGCAAACGCCUCUUCGAUUUCUGGGCAGGCGCCUCUUCGAUUUCUGAAGCUCUGUCGAGUGAAGAUUUUUAUAGAGGCUGGCAUUAAGUUCCAAAGCACACUUGAAUCUUCACCAGUAGAAGCUCAUUUCUUGCACUUCUAAGAUCUUGAUUUGUCCGACCUUUUCUCUCUUCAACACCUUUGAAAAUGUCUGGCCCCUCCAACCGUCGUUUUGACUUGAACCUUGUUAAAGAGGCAGCAACGACUUCUCCAGACAACAUAUAGCGCCCAUCCUUCUUAUCCCCUACUGGUCCUCUUAUCGUUGGGGAUUCCGUGAUGAAGAAUGAUAUGACCGCUACGGUGGUGGCCAGGAACCUUCUUACUCCCAAAGAUAACAUACUACUUUCCAAACGGUCUGAUGAGUUGGAUGUUAAGGAUUUUCUGGCUCUGAGUGUUCAAUGUGCAGGUUCUGUGUCUAAUAUGGCCCAACGCCUAUUUGCUCGAACCCGCCAAGUUGAAUCAUUGGCGACUGAAGUGAUGAGUCUCAAACAGGAGAUUAAAGGGCUCAAGCACGAGAAUAAACAGUUGCACCGACUCGCACAUGACUAUGCUACAAACAUGAAGAAGAAGCUUGACCAGAUGAAGGAAUCUGAUGGUCAGGUUUUACUUGAUCAUCAGCGGUUUGUGGGUUUGUUUCAAAGGCAUUUAUUGCCUUCGUCUUCUGGGGCUAUACCGCGUAAUGAAGCUCCAAAUGAUCAACCUCUGAUGCCUCAUCCUUCUAAGGUUCUGUCCAAUACUGAGGCUCCGAAUGAUCCCCCUCCGGUGCCUUAUCUUUCUGGGGCUCUACCGACUGCUGAGACUUCUCCUAAGCAACCUUUGUGAAGGCUCCCUCUUGUUUGUUUAUUUUGACUCAUGUAUAUGUACAUAUUUAUAACUUAUCGGAGAUAUCAAUAAAUAAGCUUUGCUUCAUUUCAACGUAUUGUGUUAAAUACACCAAAGCCUUCUUCACUGAGUCAUGUCCUUCGUUAGAACCAAAUACUCUAAGUCUUUUCUUAGAUUCUCUUCCAAAGUUUUCUCAGGUCUUCCUCUACCCCUUCGGCCCUAAACCUCUGUCCCUUAGUCGCAUCUUCUAACCGGAGCGUCAAUAGGCCUUCUUUGCACAUGUCCAAACCACCGUAACCAAUUUUCUCUCAGCUUUCCUACAAUUUCGGCUACUCCAACUUUACCUUAGAUAUCCUCAUUCCUAAUCUUAUCUUUUCUCGUGUGCCAACACAUCCAACGAAGCAUCCUCAUGUCCACUACACUCAUUUUGUGUUCGUGUUGAUGCUUCACCGCCCAACAUUUUAUGCCAUACAGCAUCGCUGGCCUUAUUGUCGUCCUAUAAAAUUUCCCUUGAGCUUCAGUGGCAUACGGCGGUCACACAACACGUUGGAUGCACUCUUCCACUUCAUCCAUCCAGCUUGUAUUCUAUGGUUGAGAUCUCCAUCUAAUUCUCCGUUCUUUUGCAAGAUAGAUCCUAAGUAGCGAAAACGAUCGCUCUUUGGUAUUUCCUGAUCUCCGAUCCUCACCCCUAACUCAUUUUGGCCUCCAUUUGCACUGAACUUGCACUCCAUAUAUUCUGUCUUUGAUCGGUUUAGGCGAAAACUUUUAGAUUCCAACACUUCUCUCCAAAGGUUAAGCUUCGCAUUUACCCAUUCCUGAGUUUCAUCUAUCAACACUAUAUCGUCUGCGAAAAGCAUACACCAAGGAAUAUCAUCUUGAAUAUGUCCUGUUAACUCAUCCAUUACCAACGCAAAAAUGUAAGGACUUAAGGAUGAGCCUUGAUGUAAUCCUACAGUUAUGGGGAAGCUUUCGGUUUAUCCUUUAUGAGUUCUUACGGCAGUCUUUGCUCCUUCAUACAUAUCCUUUAUAGCUUAGAUAUAUGCUACUCGUACUCCUUUCUUCUCUAAAAUCCUCCAAAGAAUGUCUCUUGGGACCCUAUCAUACGCUUUUUCCAAAUCUAUAAAGACCAUGUGUAAAUCCUUUUUUCCCAUCUCUAUAUCUUUCCAUCAAUCUUCGUAAAAGAUAGAUUGUCUCCAUGGUUGAGCGCCCUGGCAUGAACCCGAAUUGGUUGUCCGAAACCCGUGUCUCUUGCCUCAAUCUAUGCUCAAUGACUCUCUCCCAGAGCUUCAUUGUAUGACUCAUUAGCUUAAUACCCCUAUAGUUCUUGCAAUUUUGUACGUCGCCCCUUAUUCUUGUAGAUAGGCACCAAAGUGCUCUUUCGCCACUUAUUUGGCAUCUUCUUCGUUUUCAAAAUCCUAUUGAAAAUGUCAAUGAGCCAUGCUAUACCUGUCUCUCCCAAGACUUUCCACACUUCGAUUGGUAUAUCGUUCUGGGCCUACUGCUUUUCUAUGCUUCAUCUUCUUCAAAGCUACAACCACUUCUUCCUUCCUGAUUCGACGAUAAAAAGAGUAGUUUCUACACUCUUCUAAGUUACUCAACUCCCCCAAAAAAGUACUCAUUUCAUGUCCUUCAUUGAAAAGAUUAUGAAAAUAACCUCUCCAUCUGUCUUUGACCGCGUUCUCUGUAGCAAGAACCUUUCCAUCCUCAUCCUUGAUGCACCUCACUUGGUUUAGGUCUCUUGUCUUCUUUUCCCUUGCUCUAGCUAGUUUAUAGAUAUCCAACUCUCAUUCUUUGGUAUCUAGUCGCUUAUACAUAUCGUCAUAAGCCGCUAACUUAGCUUAUCUCACAGCUUUCUUCGCCUCUUGCUUCGCUCUUCUAUACCUUUCACCAUUUUCGUCGGUCCUGUCAUUGUAUAAGGCUUUACAACAUUCCUUCUUAGCCUUCACCUUUGUUUGUACCUCCUCAUUCCACCACCAAGAUUCCUUUUGGUGUGGGGCAAAGCCCUUGGACUCUCCUAAUACCUCUUUUGCUACUUUUCGGAUACAACUAGCCAUGAAAUCCCACCUUUGGCUAGCUUCCCCCUCUCUAUCCCACCCACAUUGGGUGAUUACUUUUUCUUCUUUUAGAUUCCACCAUCUAGUCCUUGGGCACUUCCAAGUCUUGUUCUUUUUUCUCACUCUUUUGAUAUGUACAUCCAUCACCAACAAGCGAUGUUGAUUAGCCAAGCUCUCUCCCGGUAUAACUUUGCAAUCCUUACAAGUUAUACGAUCCCCUUUCCUCAUUAGAAGAAAAUCUAUUUGUGUUUUUUACGACCCACUCUUGUAGGUGAUCACAUGUUCUUCUCUCUUCUUAAAAAAGGUGUUGGCUAAGAAGAGAUCAUAUGCCAUUGCAAAAUCCAAGAUAGCUUCCCCAUCCUCGUUUCUCUCCCCAAAACCAUGGCCACCAUGAAAACCUCCAUAGUUGCCUGUCUCCAUGCCCACGUGUCCAUUUAAAUCUCCUCCUAUAAAUAACUUCUCCGUCUGGGCAAUUCCUUGCACCAAGUCUCCAAGGUCUUCCCAAAAUUUCUCCUUCGAACUUGUAUCCAACCCUACUUGAGGUGCGUACGCACUAAUCACAUUGAUAAGUUCUUGUCCUAUUACAAUCUUGAUUGCCAUGAUUCUAUCUCCUACCCUCUUGACAUCUACAACAUCUUGUGUCAAGGUCUUGUCCACGAUGAUGCCAACACCGUUUCUCGUUCUAUUUGUGCCCGAAUACCAAAGUUUAAACCCUGAGUUUUCUAGAUCAUUUUCCUUAAGACCAACCCACUUAGUUUCUUGUAGGCACAUAGUAUUUAUCCUUCUCCUCACCAUAACUUCCACUACUUCCAUAGAUUUUCCCGUAAAGGUUCCUUUAUUCCACGUUCCUAAACGCAUUCUACUCUCUUGAACUCUACCCUUCUGUCCUAGCUUCUUCACCCUCCCCCGUCCAAUAGGAUCAAAGUACUUCUUUUGUGUGUCCUGUGUAAAGUUGAUAGGAGCAUAUGCUCCCAAACAACUUUGAGUGGAGUCGUUCGAAAAGAAGUUUCUAUGGCCCCCUUGCUCAUUUAACAAUGCAUCCGGGUGCCGAUGGAGAUACAGCGACCCUUGCUCACUUAUCACUGUGCUCGGGCCACACAGCGCGCCACUUACGGUUGACGCCCUAGCUUUAGCGCGAUUUCGUUCUGGAUUCAUUUUCAUAAGGAUUCGGUGUAACCGAGGAGUGCCGGCUGUCGACUACCUGACGCCCUCCCUCUCCUUCUUUACCCGGGCUUGGGACCGGCAAUGUAAGAUAAACUUACACAGGCGGAGUUUCUUUCCAAAACAUACAUGAAAGAAAUUUCUGGAUAAACAAGCACAAGACUCAUACAAGACAUAACUUACUAGACACCAACUACUAGAAAAUUGUCUUGCUGUGAAUCAUGUAACACUUCACAAAAUUUAAUAAAAUGAAUCUUCGUAAGCUUGCCCGAUUUCUCCUACCUGGGUUUCAUAGCAUUGCGUUGACACCCGGUUGCAAGAGUCCACCACCUUGAUCAACUCUUAUUCACAUAUGCUAGUGAUCACUAAAUGCUUGACUUAACUCUAAACCUAGUGAGAUAACUUGAGCUUACGAAGACGAUAUAUAGUAGUUAUAAGUGUAAUAGCAAGAAAUCAAUUUUUUUAUUAACAAACGAUAUUAUCUACACUAAAGGGAAGGAGAUCAGUUUAGUCUCACAAUAGGCUAACAAUAACGUGGUUCAAAUUCGCCUUUGGUGAGAAUCAAACCUAACAUCUCUUACUUAGAAGUGAUGAGUAAUUAAUAACACUAGACUGUAAUACUAAGUGACGCAAUAAAUCAAUUUUGAACGUUGAAGAUAUUAACCUAAUAUUUAUGGAUAAAACAGUAAUGCAUGCAAAAGAAAGUCAUCUCAUAGAAUCAGAGUGUAAAUGUCAAACCAUUUAAUCAAGGCUAUUUUCUAUAAUGGCCAUAACCUUAAAAGCGUACUUUCGUUCAAAAUUAAUCAAUUAAUGUAUAAACUAAUAUCCUAUAUACAACAAAAUGUAGUGUAUAUAUCAAUUUCUAUAACGUGCGAGUCAUUUCCCUAGCCUUAGGACUGCCUUGUGAGCAUCAUCUUUACAUGCAUAUUAUUCCGCGCCAUUUGUUUUUCCGGCGAAGAAUUAGAAGCGAUCGAUACGAAAAAGAGUACCAAAAAGAAGAGACGACAUUUGCAUGAACCCCUGGAUAUAAUUUUAUGUAUUCCAACCGCUUCUCACACCUGAUUAAUAGUAGACUGCUAGAAGGGAAAACCUCAAAUCUCCCAGAUCCAACAAAAGAUGGAAAGGUCUAGAAUUGGGGGUGUCCAUGUUCCAUAGAUAGAGGGGAACAGAAGCAACAACAAACGGGAGCUGGAAGAAAAGGGUAAGGCGGUGGGACAUUCACCUCAGAAAGAAAUUAGAACAUAGGAGGAUUCCAGAAGGGUAAAGGAAAGGAAAGAAAGGGCUGCAAACAGGCUGAAGAAAAUGACCACGAAGGAAAGGUGUCUGAUGAUGGAAGGGGCGAUCUAUGCGGAGAAUGAGUUGCAAGAAGUCUCGAUAAGGUAUCAGGAUAUGUGGGACUACAUGGAGGAGAUCUCUAUGAAGGAGAAAAAUGCCCUGAUGGCUAAGAAAACAGGAUCCUCUUUCGGAGGUGGUGGCAGCUGGCCUUCAAUAGCCGAUCACCAUGAUACACCACUUCUGGAACUAUCGUGGUCUUGGGUCGGAUACGGUAGUUCGAGCCAUACAUGGGCUAAUAAGGAAACAUAGACCCUCUAUGAUCUUUCUCUCAAAAACAAAAAUGAAAGAUCAUAGAAUAAUAGGUGUGAGGCGACGAAUGGGGUAUUUUAAUGGGUUUGAUGUUGCACCGGUUGGAAGGGCAAGAAGGCUUAGUCUCUGGUGGGAUGAGUCGGUCCAAGUGAAUGUGGUGGAUUCCUCAAAACAUUUCAUUGAUGCUAAAUGUUGCUUUGUGGAUUCGCAGAGUGUGUUCCAGUUCACCGGUAUGUACGGAAUGUCUUACCGAGCUGAGAAGGUAGAAUUUUGGAGGGGAAUGAUUCAGAAUUUCGGUCCGGACAGCAUCCCUUGGAUAUGUGGUGAUGACUUCAAUGAAUUCUUGUGGGAUCAUGAGGAAUCGGGUGGAGCCGAAGUGAGAUACAACCAGAUAAGAUAUCUAUAGGAGUUUAAAAGAAGUUGGAAAUAUCAGACUUAGGUUUCAACAGUCCUAAGUUCACUUGGCAAGGGAAGAGAAAUGGGCAGUUAGUGUAGGCUCGGUUAGACAGAGGGCUUGUGAAUGAGAGUUGGCAGACAAUUUGGCCUAAUUCUAUGGUCACUAAUGGUACGUCACUGGGAUCAGAUCAUAGCCCAGUUCUAGUGCAUUGCGAUCCGCGUGUUGGAAAAAGGAAAAACAUUUUCUCUUUUAAGGCCUACUGGGCAAAGGAUGCAAAUUGCAAAGAGAUAAUGAGACGACUAUAGGAUAAAACUCGGGGAGGGAAACUCUGUGAAGCGAUGGAAUCUAAAGAUCAGUGAGUGUUGUGCUAAUCUGUCCAGGUGGAGUAGAGAGAAAUUCAGUCAGAAAAGAUGGAAAAUUCAGGAGAUGAUGAACCAUUUAGGUCAACUCCAACUUGACUGGAAGAAAAAAUCCCAAGAAAUUGAGGAUCUAUAAAAACAUGUUGACCAUCUGUGGAGCCAGGAAGAGAGCAUUUGGCAGCAAAGAUUAAGGGUUCAAUGGCUAAAGGAAGGGGAUGCCAACACAAAGUUUUUCCAUCAAUUUACCUUGCACAGAAGAAACAGAAAUAAGGUGGUAUUGCUAAAAAACAAUAUUAGGGACUGGGUGGACAAUCCAGGUCAGGUAUGGCAAUUGAUUAAUGAGCACUUUGUGGAACAUUUCACCUCGUCGGGGCAUAGGGAGUAGGGAGCCAUCCUUGAUUACGCCACCCCAAGGGUUUCUGAAGAGAUAAAUGUAACGUUAACGGCUCCAAUCUCUGUAGACGAGAUAAAAAUUGCUGCUAUGAAAAUGGGAGGUCUUAAAGCUUCGGGCCCAGACGGAUUUCAAGGUAUUUUCUAUUAGUCGCAGUGGGAUAUAAUUGAUGCGAAUGUUAAUAAAAUGAUCGAGGAUUUGAUGAUUAGGUCUAUGUCGCCUAUGCGAAUCAAUGCUACUCACCUGGUUUUAAUUCCAAAAGUUCAAAACCCGGAGUCAGUGUCUCAGCUUCUCCUCAUAAGUCUAUGCAAUUAUUCAUACAAAAUUCUUUCCAAGGUCUUGGCUAACUGGUUAAAAAGGUUACUGCCAGAGUUGAUUUCUCCAACCCAAAAUGCUUUUGUGGAAGGAAGACAAAUUCAAGCUAACAUUGGCAUUGCGCACGAGCUAUUCCAUUUCCUCAAAACAAGAAAGACGAAAAGCAAGUUAGAGUUAGGAUCAAAUUGGAUAUGUAUAAGGCUUAUGAUAAGGUGGAAUGGGACUUCUUAUUGGCAAUAAUGGAGAAGAUGGGUUUUGAUAGUCGAUGGAGAAGUUUGAUUUUGUGUUGCAUUUCAACAGUGAAUUUUGCCAUUCUUCUGAAUGGACAACCUAGCUCCAAAUUUGCACCAUCACGAGGGAUUCGACAGAGUGAUCCUCUUUCCCCAUAUUUAUUCAUGUUGGUCAGUGAAGUGUUCUCGCUUCUUAUACAACAGGCGAGUGAUAGGAUAUGGACUGAGGGUGUUCAAAUGGGUCUUACCAGUCCCAUGAUAUCUCAUAUUUUUUUGCUAAUGACACUUUGAUUUUCCCAAAGGCAGAUGAGAGAAAUUGCAGAAAUCUAAUUCUGGUAAUUGACGAAUAUUGCUCUGCCUUGGGUUAAUAGGUCAAUAAGUCGAAGUCAAGUAUUUUUUUUCAGGGGGAAUGUGUCGGAGUCUUUAUCAAUCCAACUGGCUACCAUUCUUGGGAUGGAGAAAGUUGGGGACCCGGGAUUGUACCUAGGUGUUCCGGCCAUUUAGGGUAGAUCAAACAAAAACGGCCUUACUUAUGUAAAAGGUAGGCUUUUGGGUAAGAUUCAGGGAUGGAAGCGUUCCACACUCUCACAAGCAGGGGGUGAAGUUCUUAUAAAGGCGGUGGCGCAGGCAAUUCCGGUGUACCCUAUGAAUCUAUUCAAGUUUCCUAUGACACUUUGCAAUGAAUUAGAUGUAAUGAUUUCAAAAUUUUGGUAGGGAUAAAAAUAAGGGGAAAACCAGAUUCAUUAGGUCUUGAUGGAGCAGUUGGGUCGUUCAAAAGAAGAAGGCGAGUUUAGAUUGAGGUGCUUUGCGGAGUUCAACUAUGCCCUCUUGGCGAAGCAAUGUUGGAGGUUGUUAAUGGAGUCAAACUCCUUGUGGGUGUCGGUACUUAAACCCUGAUAUUUCCCAAAUUGCUCUUUCUUCGAUGCAAAGCGGGGUGGAAGAGCUUAUUGGGCAUGGUCAAGCCUCCUAGAUGGAAGAGAAAUUAUUCGUGGGGGUGCACACUGGCAGAUUAUGAAUGGAAAAGAGGUUCGGGUUUGGGUGGAUAAAUGGCUACCAUACAUUCCUUCGAGAAGACCUUUCCCCUUGGGCACGGUGCAAGUCUCUCAGAACUUAAUGGUCAACUCUCUGAUAUGCACUAAAAUUGGGCUUGGGAUAUUGAUUUCUUGAAACCAUUUGUGGUGGAAGAUGAGUUCAAUGCGAUUUUAGAGACUCAUACGGGUGACCCAACUUUGAAUGACAGAUUGGUGUGGUCUUUUGAGAAAAAAUGGAUCUAUUCGGUCAAAUUUGGAUAUCAUUAGGCACUGACCAGGACUCGACUACACAUGAAUGUUAACCCUCAUAGGGGUCAGCCAUCAUCCUAAACCAUUUAUGGAAAUGUGUGUGGAAUCUGAAGGUACCGCCGAAAAUAAGAUGCUUCAUGUAGAAGUCUUUACAUGCAGCAGUGGCAACGAUGGCUAAUUUGUUUAAUCGGCAAUCUUCUCCUUCACCCAUUUGCCCUCUUCGCAACUUGACUGAAAAGUCAAUAGAAAACCUCUUUCUUCAAUGCCCAUGGGUGGAGGCGGUGUGGUACGAGAGACGUUUGACUAGAAGUUUAUGCAGGGAGGAAAUUACAACUUGGGCGAACUGGUAGGGUGUUAUUUUUGCUUCGGUAAAUGGCGAGAAAAGUGAGAGGAGCAACUUGUUUUCAUAUAUUAACUUGUUGGCAUAUAUGGAAAUCAAGAUGCAACUUCAUUUUCAAUCAACAACCUAUUUACCCAUGGCAAGUUAUCACCGUUAUUUCCCAUUCGAUGGGUGCUUUCAAAUAGGCCAUUCGGGUACCUGUCAUCAGGCCUCUGGUCACAGUUCCAGGUUUAGGAAAUGAUGUCCAAUGGUUUCCUUCAUGUACAGGAUUCAUAAAAAUAAAUGUGGAUGCCAGUUGGAUGAAGAGUUGGGGUUCGGAUUUCAUGGGUAUGGUGGCUCGGGAUUAAGAGAGAAGGUUUGUGGCUACAUGUAGAUAUAAGGUGAUUGCUUCUAGGUUUGUGGCUACAUGCAGAUAUAAGGUGAUUGCUUCUAGCGUGGCGAUGGGGGAAGCAAAGGCUAUAUUGCAAGGAUGUAAGCUGGGGAGGUAUAUGGGCUGAAAUCAUGUCAUCGUUGAGUCUAAUUCUUUGGAAUCAGUUUCAUGUCUUCGGGAUUUGGCAACGAUGGGUAAUUGGGAAGCAUUGCCAAUUUUAGCAAAGAGCAAAGGAUUGGGGGAGGCUUUUCAUGACUGCCAGUAGUCUUAGGUUCCAAGAUCGGCCAAUACGUCGACAGACCUUUUGGCGUCAGGGCAAAGUAGAGAAGUAUGUGAUUAUAUCUAGGUCAACAGACCCCCAUCUUCCCUUGUGCAUGUUCUAUGUAAUGAUGGUCUUGUAAGAUAGACCUAAUAAAUUAUAUAUAUAUAUAUAUAUAUAUAUAUAUAUAUAUAUAUAUAUAUAUAUAUAUAUAAGAACUGACUUAUAUAUUAACCCAAUCACUAACCUGAGGGAGACAUUGUCUCAGGAAAUAGGGCGAGAAACUGAAGCUCUUCUGCAACUCUGCACUAACCUAAAGCAAGGCUCACUCAAUGGGGCUAGAGUAUUUAUGUAAACUUGCGGAUGAAGUAAGAGUGCAAGGACCUCAGUUAUAUACUGUAUAUGAUGGUCUUUGAUUAGGAGUCCUCCCAUUAAGUAAACCUUAUCAAAGAUUAACCUUAUCACCGAAAAUCACUUAUGCAUAAAUCAGCUAGAAGAAUUCUAGUUUAUCUAAGAAUGUUUCUGACUUGAAUACCUAAGUAAUACAACUCCUGAAAAGUCUACCACAUGUGCUAAUGUUAAUCUCCUUGUCGUCCCAAAAGUCUUUGUACAAAUCACAGAGUGUUGCUCUCAAAUAGAACUUACAGGUCUUCCAUGUCCCCCUUAAGUUCUAGUUGGUAGUGUGAGGAGUGACACUUUUAGCAUUAGAUGCAGUGUCGAAUGUACCUCCUUGCACUACUUCUUUCUAGUUGUUGUAGUUGGCUUGUUUGCCUCGGGGUAGGCUUCUUUGUAACCUUUGACAUCUUUGACCGGAUAAUACAUUAUCUUGUACACCAACAAAAAAAAAAAAAAACUAUACAGAGAAGGAGGGGGAGAGAGAGAGAGAGAGAGAGAGAGAGAGAGAGAGAGAGAGUUGAAACAAAUAUAUGGAUAUCUAACUCCAAGAGAGAUUAAAAUAUACAUGCAUAUGGUAUUAUCAUCGUAUCAUAAUUCAUACGUGAAGAAUAAAGUAACCGUCUGGAAGGGUAGGCUUUGUGUUUGUGGUGUGGAGAUCGGCCCUCCCUCCCUCCAUUUUCAUCACUACACUGCUAGACUGCCAGUGCUAGUCCACUAGUCUAGUACAGUAGUCGUAGUCCUGGUAAAAUUUCCAUCAAGAAAAUAAAAGGUUUGACCGAAGAAAUGGAGGCCACCGCACGCACGCAACUAGACUACUCUUGCUCUCCUUUCCAUAAUUUCUUAUUAUUAUAUAUCUUUAAUUAAUAAAUAUAUAUUUAUCAUUGUUUAUUAUUCUUGCUUUUUGCUAAGCUUUCAGGAGAAGUAAAGGAAUAAGAAUAGAAGUUGAGAGAGUUGAUAAUAUUCCCUUCACCCUCACGGUCAGAGUUUUCGAGUCACAUCCUCUUACUUAUUCUUUUAUCUCAUUCUUGUACUCCAUCAAGAAAAGGGAAGAUGAUCCCUUUCAUCUAAUCCUCAUCAUCAAACAAUUCGGGUCCUUGAAAUGUAAUAUAACUGCCACAAACAGAGGCCCACUCUAAAAGUUAUAAUAAUUUUAGUUGUUUGAUCGAAUUUCAAGGGUAUAGAUUGUUUGAUGGGGAUGAUUAGGUGAAAGAGAUUCGGAGAUGAUUCAUUUCCCUCCAUCAAUACCCACGGCCUGAAGAAGUUCAUGUGCGAGGUCACAAUUGGUGAUGGCUCAGGUGUUUUGUGUGAGGAUGUGCUGGUAAAAAAAUCUCACAUUGGUAAAAGAAAAAAUCUUGCAAUAACUUAUACGAGAUUGAGCUACUCCUCAUAUUGCCAAUUGGUUUAUGGUGGAAUUUCAACUUUUUUUAUGGUAUCAGAGCCAUAUUGACCCUUUACACGUGCUCUCAAUUGGUUUAUGGUGAAAUUUCAACUUUUUUUAUGGUAUCAGAGCCAUGUUGACCCUUUACACGUGCUCUAUGUCACCUAAAUUAUAUUAUCCACGUGCCUUUAUUGUUUUUUCCUUUUCAUUUUUAACAUGUACACACAGUACACUUGGUUCAACGUGUAACUUUUUUUUCUUUUUUGACAUUGUUAUAACAUGUUACUACAGGUUAUUAAGUUGGUUCACCCCAAUAAAGUCUCUUAAUUAAUUAAACUUUAAGUAGUCAUAUAUAUUUAUAUCUCUUUCCAUCUUCUAUAUAUAAUUUUUCUAGUAAGAAAUUCAAGCAAGAUCUGCUUCCAAAGCUUUCAUCGAGAACGGUGAAACAUAACCCCAUUUUCUUCAACUCCUUCCAUCACGAGAUCCAAUCUAUCAGGCUCAAACCCACGGGUAAAUAACCUUUCUUUUUUUAAUUAAUUAUUAUCACUACUGUAUGCUUCCUUCCUUCCUCUGAUAAAAACCCUAGAGAGAGAGACGACCCUGCAAAUUUAAAGUCCCGUUCAAAUCAUCUCUUCUCUCCUCCUCUGCAUCUUAUCUUCUCUCCGUGUUUAUCUAGUAGUCGAUUAUUCCCUACAAGAGAAGAAUCGAUAUUUUUGAACCCCUACCUUCCGCUUAGGGUUUCUGGGGUGGUGAGAGAAACUAGACAAGAAUUACUACUCUAGAAAUUAAUAUAUAAAUAUAAAUAUACAUAUAUAUGUAUGUAUCUUACUGUUUUUCUCACUGUUUUUCUCUUUUAUUUUUUGCUGGAUCUCUUUAUGGUUUUCAAGAACAUGCUUAUACACAUACAUGUUAUCUGUAAUAUUCUUGUUCAUAUGCAUGUUCUUUUGUAUAUCUAACUUCCCUUUUACAGUUCGGUAGACCAGAUCUUUUCAGACGAAAAAGAUUGCAUUUUGGUUCUUUUUUUAAAACGAAUUAAAAAAGAAGAAGAAUAUCAGUGAUAUAUGUCAAUGUUUUCUUUUUAUUUUUACUUUCUUCUACUGGCAAAUAAUACCGUAUACCUAUUUUACCUGACCAUCGUGUUCACUCGAAUUUUGAAUCAUUACUUAGUUGAUUUUCUAGGGGAAUUAUUCAAGGUAAUAUAUAAGAGGGAAAUUCCACCUUUGAUUGGCCGGCGCUGAUCUUACUAUGGCAAAGCCGCCACUAUGCCAUAGAUUUUGCAUUCUCUCUCUUUUCUUGUUCGAAUUCAUUUCUUAUUAGGUCCGUUUGUUUGUUUAAUUUCUUUUCCACUCGGGUUGGGCCUAUUCAUUCAUCAUGAUUCAUUGAAUAUUCCUUUUCUGCCGAACGUUUCUCAUCCUUUUUGCAGCAUUUGUUAUUCAUUGCAAGAAUUCAGAUCAGUGUUUUGGUGAGAUAAUCAUCAGUACCACUUAAUUACUGUCCGUCAUGGUAACGGGACAAGUUUAAAGAUGCUGAUAAGAAAAUUAAACAUCGACCAAAAAAUUAUUCUUCCAUCUGUGAUUCGGUGAAUGUAUAAGGUUUUUUUUCUUUUCAUUUUUUUGUAGUUAACCUUUUUUUAUUUUCAGUUUAUGCCAUGGGAAUUUUAGUUUUGGAAUUUUCGCGAUCUUUGUAUGCUGAUGAUGAUGGUUAUGAUCUUAUUUAAUACGUGUAUUAUAUAUGUAAUAUUAAUGAAUGGAUUGGUCAAAUACAGAGGAGGAAGAGGUGGAAGAUGGCAUCGUCGUCGACAAAUUCGCCAUGCGCGGCGUGUAAGUUCCUGCGACGUAAGUGCCAGCCAGAGUGCGUAUUUGCGCCAUACUUCCCACCGGACCAGCCGCAUAAGUUUGCUAAUGUUCACAAAGUUUUUGGGGCCAGCAACGUCACUAAACUGCUCAAUGAGUUGCACCCACACCAGCGUGAGGACGCCGUCAACUCGCUCGCCUACGAGGCCGAUAUGCGCCUCCGCGAUCCCGUCUACGGCUGCGUUGGAGUCAUCUCUCUCCUCCAACACCAACUCCGCCAACUUCAGAUGGAUCUGACCUGUGCUAAAUCCGAACUCUCCAAAUAUCAAAAUCUCACUGCCAGCCACGGACUCAUAGCCGCCGCCGCUGCUGCCGCCGCAACUGCCACUGCUGCCGCCCACACCCACAGUAACAAUAACAAUAAUAAUAACGAUCAGGACCAUCAUCUACAUUUACAGUCCUCUUCACUCAACAACUUGGGGAUGGGCAUCAAUCUCAUUUCAGGCGGCGGAGGCCGAGAACACUACCCCAACCAGUUUUUUCCCAGAGAUCGAGAUCAUCAUUCCUAUCAUCAGCAACAGAUGAUGUUUAGGAGCCUUGAUGGCGGAAACAACUACGAUGCAAGCCUUCUUGCCAUGAACGCUGCUGCAGGGGGCAUUUAUGGCCAACUCAGUCAACAGCUCCAGCAAACUAGGGCUGCUGCUGGUGACGACCGCCGAACCAUUGAUCCUUCUUAAUUAGGAUUUCCUCGUUUCCUUGCCUACUCACAACAACUUUAACCAAUCCCAUCAAAUUAUUUCAGGUACGUCCAUUAUUAUUAUUAUUUUUAUAGGAAAAAUACGAUAUUCAUUUAGGAUUGAGUAGAAUAAGUACGUCUUAUACAUAAAUAUACAAUUACAAAUUUUAUAUUUCAUUUCCACAGUAAUAUCAAUUUGGUUGUGAUCCAUUUAUUAGUUUUAUUGUUGUUGUUCUUGUUAUUUCCGGCUUUUGAUGGUUGGAUAUAUAAGUGCCCUUAAUUAGUACUGUAUGAUUACUUUUGUAGGUCAAUUAUGCGCUAAUUGACAUACAGUCAAUCAGGCCAAAUGCUUAUCAAAUAAAAGUUUUCAAAUUUUUAAUUUUAUGGUGAAAAUUAAUUGUUGAAGUUCGUAUUUAGUUAUUUAAAAACAUAUUUUAAUAUUUUCUUCUUUCAACAGAAAAGUAAUUUAUUAUUGUUUACUAUUAAGGUGAUCUGUAAAAUACUCAAAAUUAACCAUAAACACUAGAGUGAUUUGAUUGAUAUCCUACAUUUGUUAAGGAUAUACCGAAAGUACUCUAAAUUCAUACAACCGCUUAACUUAACCAAACUAUUCCUACACCCGCACUGCCAAAUACAGUGUUUUAAAAAGUCGAUAGCUUCCAACCGAAAGUGAGUAAAGUUUCAGCCAAGUUAUGCUGAAACCGUGUUGAAUUUUUCGCAAAAUGUACUGAGGUAAUGUUUUGGGAGGUGCAUGCUUACCGAAAUUGUUUUAAAAAUCAGUAUGUACUAAUUGAAUAUAUCCACUUUUUUGUUAGAUAUCUAUCGAAAUGUCUUCACUUUUUGGGUAUAGAUCUACCAACAUAUCUUCAUAAUUAAGAGAAAUAUCAAAUAAAAUACUGUCUCGUGGUUUAGGGUUUGACCAGCGUUAUGACUUCCACAUGAUGCAAAAUGGGAACAAAAGAGUUAUAUAUAUACAUAUAUAUAUACACCUUAUAUGCAGUAAACAGUCGAUUUUGUGUUCUAUUUGUCAAAGUUAACCGUACCAAAGUGAGUGUGAGUAUUUCCGUCACUAGUGGUAGGGGUUUAUUUGAUCCCACAAUAAAGGGUGGGAGCAUGUACGAGAGUUUGAAGAAAAAGACUCUUGGUGUGUAGAUGUUAUUUCAUGGUGGACGUGGGACUUUGAAAAUCCUUCCUCCAAACAUAACCAUACCCAAAAUAGUAUUUUAUAGUGGUACAUCUAAAUUAUUAGUAUAUUCAACAAAUUGUGAGUGCCAAUAACCCACUCUAAAUAAUUAUUUUAUUUUUGAAAACCCUAAAUAUUUUUAAGUGAGCACAUCCGAAGAAGAGUCCAACUUAAUGAAGGGAAAAAAAAAACAAAUGACGUUUUAUCGCCACGGCAAAAAACAAUCACGUCUAAACACUCUCGUGUGAGUCCGAUACUCACAAAUCCCUCGUUACCCUUACAGCUAACAGUUUAACUCAUUUACAAUAUCGUUUAUCCAAAACAAAAAAAAAAAAAAAAAAAGGAAAAAGAAUACGAUACAAAUCCCACUGUUGUACCUACAUCAAAAUACUGUUAUCAAUUCGUUCCUUUCUUUUUUAUCCAUUUAAAACGAAAUAAAUUCUUACUGUGAAAGAAAAAUUGAUUAUACCCAAAACUGACUUUAGGACUUUUUUACAACAAAAGAAAAACAGCCUUUGGGACUGUAUAUAAAUAACCCGAAGUCCGGACUCGGACUAUUCGCUGGAAGCAAUCAUUAUGCAAACAGCCUUACACUGCGCACGGUUGUAUUGUUUGACAAUCUCUACUCAUGCGAAAAGCUAGCUAAAUAAUUUUGUGUUUAAUUAGGUUUUGCUUUAUAAGUCAUACAUGCAUAGUCCCACACUCAUGAUUUUGUUAACUCUUUCUAUCCAUUUGUUUUGGCACAGAUAUGCAGGGUAUAUUAACUAUCAAGAAGAAAAAGUUCGAGAGAUUUCAAAAGCCAAAAGAAACAGUCCGAUGAGGGAGAGAGAGAGAUGGGUGGAAGAGGCAGUCUAAUUUGAUUAAUCAAUACCCCAUUUACAGACAAUUUAAUUAUAUCUAAUUUAUGUCUCUUGGAAAUUGUUUUCUCAUACACAUAGUAUAUCAACUAUAAAUAUAUUUUCUUUGCAUAUAUAUAUAUAUAUAUAUAUAUAUAUAUAUAUAUAUAUAUAUAUAUUAGUAUUGCAAUCCUCCUCCGUCCUCUAAGGAGAAACAAAAGGGGGAAAAAAAGAACCAGAACAUGCCCAACAAAAAUAAAGAAAAAGGGAAAACAAGUUUGUCCAGAAAGUGUCCUUCAACUCGCAGCAGUCUCACCAGUAAAAUUAGGAGACAUAGUGCAUGGGUCUGGAGGAUUUGUUUGCACUCUGUCUCAACAAUAAAAUUAGGAGACAUAGUGCAUGGGUCUGGAGGAUUUGUUUGCACUCUGUCUCAACAAUAAAAUUAGGAGACAGAUAUCUAUUUGCAGCAGUCCCAUAUAUAUGAUCCUAUUCCUAUAAUAGCUUAGUCAUUUCUAAAUUUAAUUUGGUUAUGAAAUUUGAAAAUCUUUGACAUAUAAUAUAUGCAUGAUCAUAAAUCAUAAUAAUGUUAAAGCAUAUAUCCCCGUAUGAUGAUAUGGUAAGUUUCAAAAAGAUGGAUGCAUUGUAGACUAAGUUUUGUACACUAAAUAACAUGAAAGUUGACGAUUUGAUUAUUACGUAAGAAAACGUGCUUAUUUUGUAUUGAUAAUGUAUUAUAGUUUGCAAAUUUUGUUUAAAAACUUUGCCUGCCUAGUAUUAUCCUUAGUUUUGUGUGUGAAAUAGUUUUAUCGAAGAGCAUGCUAGGCCAUAAGUUUUGGGGUCAUCAAUAUAUAAUGAUUAAUGAGUUACCAUUUUAGUUGAGAAUUAUUAUUAGCACUUUAAAAAUCUCAUUUGGCACUCCAAACUUUCUAUAAUUAGAAAGAAAAAUACACGUUUGAGAAGUGUAGAAUGAGAUUUUUGAAGUAUUAAUAACAGUUCCCUUUUAGUUUGUACAAUAUUAUAGUUAACAUAAAAUUUCUCUCAGAACUCAGAAAUCAUUUAACCAACUGGUGAAAUGUUGUAAGUUACUUGACAACACUUAAUGCAAUUUGCAAGUGGAGGUGUCCUUUUUCCAAUAUUAGGGUUUAUAUAUAUAUAUUUUUUGGUCCUAGUAAUUUAAUUAGACAGACGCGGCAAAAGGAAUAGUGUAGCCAGCAUAUAUAUAUGCAUUUUGAAAUUUAUAUAUAUACACACUGUAGAGAGUAUAUAUAGAUAUAUACGGAUGAUAAAUGCCUGGGCAAAAUUAGUUUGGAAGUCAUGGAGACUGCUAAGCAAGCAUAAGGCAUUUCUUCCGUUCCCGGACAAAGGCAGAAGACAACGUAAUAAGACAAAAUGACUGACUGACGGAUAGGUGGAUGGAUGGGAGAAAUUAAUUAAGCCGACCCUCAACCGAGAGAGAGAGUGCGCGUGUGUGUGUGUGUGAGCCUAGUUUUUCUCUUUCUGCCAGAAACAUGAAAGGCCAUUCCAGAGAGGAUGUCAUGGCCAUUUACUACCCUCGGUACAGAAUACUCACUUAUAAUUUAUGAAAAGAAUGAAAAAAAAAAGAACUAAUUAAAAUCCCAUGCAAAACAAUUAUAGAAAUCAACCUGCACGAAAAAGAGAUUAGCUAGCUAGCCAGACUGAUCAGAAAGAUUAGAGGAGAACAAGUAGACAGAUAGAGAUCCUCCCCAUAUAUAGCAAGAUAAACAUGAACUUAAUUAAGAAAAGGGGUCUUUUGAUAUGGGUCCAAUUGGACUAAAAAUUGGACCUAUUUUAAAAGUCAAAAGUCACUAAAAAUUAGACAUAUUUCAAAAGAUAAGCUAUAAAAUUAGACCUCUUUCAAAUUUUCCCUAAAAAGAAUUAACUGAAUAUGUUAGUGGCAGGCAGAUGCUGAGUCUACGGGCUCUCUAAUUUUAUAGCUAAGCUAGGCAAUCACUCAACAGUGAAAGAUAAAGUCUCUUAUCUAAUGGGAAGUGUUAUUGGCACUUCAAAAAUUUUAUUCUAUACUUAUCACAAAUGUAUUUUUCUUUCCAAAUAUAGAAAGUUUGGAAUGUAUAAUGAGAUUUUUAGAGUGCCAAUAACAAUUCUCUAUCUAAUAAUGUAUUGCCAUAUAUAAAUUUUUUUUCCUAAAUAACAAUAUUUAUUGGAUCAACCUAAAUGAUAAUAGACUCAUUACGUAAAAGGUGCUCUUCAUGGUCUCGACUCUCGUGGGUGAAAACUGAAAACCCAUGCUUCUCUAUCCCUUGCUUCCCUUCCCAAUUCGUUAUUUGGUUCCAAAGUCAAAAACGGACGUAGUCAAAUCAAAUAAAAUACAACAACAACAACAACAACAAAGCCUUUUCCCACUAAGUGGGGUCGGCUAUAUGAAUCCUAGAACGCCAUUGCGCUCGGUUUUGUGUCAUGUCCUCCGUUAGAUCCAAGUAAUCAAGUCUUUUCUUAGGUCUCUUCCAAAGUUUUCCUAGGUCUUCCUCUACCCCUUCGGCCCUGAACUUCUGUCCCGUAGUCACAUUUUCGAACCGGAGCGUCAGUAGGCCUUCUUUGCACAUGUCCAAACCACCGGAACCGAUUUUCUCUCAUAUUUCCUUCAAUUUUGGCUACUCCUACUUUACCUUGGAUAUCCUCAUUCCCAAUCUUAUCCUUUCUCGUGUGCCCAUACAUCCCACGAAGCAUCCUCAUCUCCACUACACCCAUUUUGUGUACGUGUUGAUGCUUCACCGCCCAACAUUCUGUGCCAUACAACAUCGUUGGCCUUAUUGCCGUCCUAUAAAAUUUUUCCUUGAGCUUCAGUGGCCUACGACGAUCACACAACACGCCGGAUACACUCUUACACUUCAUCCAUCCAACUUGUAUUCUAUGGUUGAGAUCUCCAGCUAAUUCUCCGUUCUCUUGCAAGAUAGAUCCUAGGUAGCGAAAACGGUCACUUUUUGUGAUCUUCGCUAGAUUGCUCCGGUCAUUAGUGUGGAUAAGUAUAUAAAUGGAUAGAGAUAGGAAAGCAAACAUAAGAUGUACGUGAUUCACCCAGAUUGGCUACGUCCACGGAAUAGAGGAGUUCUCAUUAAUUGUGAAGGGUUUACACAAGUACAUAGGUUCAAGCUCUCCUUUAGGGAGUACAAGUGAAUGAUUUAGUACAAAUGACUUUAGGAAAUAUUGUGGGAGAAUGAUCUCGUAACCACGAAACUUCUAAGUCCCGGAGUGUGGUAUCGGCUUGACUUUCCUUAUCUGUCUCAUAGGUAGAUGUGGAAUCUUCUCUGGAAGUACUCUUCUUCCAUCCAGGGGUGGUAUCUGUAACUGGUGGAGAUGCACAAGGUAAUGUAUCAAUGUCACUUGAAGCUUACUUGUAGUUUCAGGCUUGGUCAAGCGCGAUACAAACCAUGUAGUAGGAGUCCCCCAAGUCGCCGAGCUAGGGGAUCUGCUGAAAGAGGUAACAGACAAGGUAAGCAAUCAGAGCUCCGGCUGAUUGUUCACAUUCUCCCUAUCUUGCAGGCAGCAUGAAGGAUAAAGAGAAGAAAAAUGAGAAGAGAUGAUAUGGGAUACUUUUGCUUUUGAAGAAGUAACUUUCCAUAGGCUUAUUCUUGAACUGGGCUGGAGGGUUUUCUGGUUUCCUCCAAAGUAUAAGGCCGACUGAAGAAUUUGAGGGUCAAAACAAGUCCAUCAAAUCUAGAGUACGUUCGACCCUGCUGAUAUGGGAUACUUUUGCUUUUGACAGAGUAGUGGAUGUAUCGGCACGUGUGCUGUUACGCUUGUCUCCACAUGCUUCCUUGUAUCCUUCUCACUUGCCCUAUCUGUUCCUCAGGCAGAUGCGGUAUCUUCCCUGGGGAGCAUAAGAUGUUGAAGAUGAGUACUCGAGAGCAAUGCCAGGGUAAGGGGUUCCAGGCAGUCAGUUCCUGGCUGGAAGCUUGAUUCCAAGUGCUGACUGAUUGCUCUCUUUCUCCUUGUCUUGCAGGUAAGAACAAGGCCAAAGGAAAAGACAGGGAAAAAGCAUAAUAUGGGAUACUCUUGCUUUUAACCCUGAUGAUAUGAGAUAUUCUUGCUCUAGUAUAGCUUGUUUACAGAGGUAUUAUCGGGGGGAAAGAAAGCUGAAUAUUUCGAAAGGCUUCGUUGGGAGUGCCCUCUCAGAUAAGAGGAAGGGUUGAGCAUUUUUGCAGGUCUGCCUGUCCGUUGGGGAUGGAGGUCGACAUAUAUAGAAGUCUCCCUAACAUCAAGUAAUAAUGCUAUUCCUUUACCCUGCUUGGUCAUAGCACGGUAGUGGGAGCUGCCAGCUUCACAAGUUUUAACUCUGUCAGAGCACUUUGAAAAAGUGGUAUGUGGUAUCUGGAAAGCUGAUGUUGCGUGUGAAGAUUACAGACAAGCUUUAUCCAAGGAGAUCCGGCUCUUGAAGUUGGGAAAGUGGUACCUCUUCGGUUUUCGAACAAGCAAUCCUGUCGGGGAUCUGGCUCUCGAGAUUCGGAGAACGAUGCCUCUUCGAUUUUUGAGAAAGCAAUCAUGCUGGGGGUCUGGCUCUCGAGAUUCGGAGAACGGUGUCUUCGAUUUUUGAGAAAGUAAUCAUGUUGGGAGUUGGGAGUGUUUUUCUCGAAUAUGAGUAAAGGUUGGGCAUGUUUGCUAGUCUACCUUGCCACGAAGCACAGAGGUUGACACACAGGGACUUUCCAAUUAUCCAGCAGUGGUACUGUUCCUUUACCCUCUCUUCGAUUUUUGAGAAAGUAAUCAUGUUAGGAGUCUGGCUCUCGAGAUUCGGAGGGCGGUGCCUCUUCGAUUUUGGAGCAAGCAAUCUUGUUGGGGGUGUUUUCUCGAAUGUGAGUAAAGGUUGGGCAUGUUUGCUAGUCUACCUUGCCACGAAACACAGAGGAUGACACACAGGGACUUUCAAAUUAUCCAGCAGUGGUACUGUUCCUUUACCCUCUCUUCGAUUUUUGAGAAAGUAAUCAUGUUGGGAGUCUGGCUCUCGAGAUUCGGAGGGCGAUGCCUCUUCGAUUUUGGGGCAAGCAAUCUUGUUGGGAGUGUUUUCUCGAAUGUGAGUAAAGGUUGGGCAUGUUUGCUAGUCUACCUUGCCAUGAAGCACAGAGGUUGACACACCGGGACUUUCCAAUUAUCCAACAGUGGUACUGUUCCUUUACCCUUGUGGGUAAUAAUAUGGUAGCUAGGCCGUCAAAAUUUAUGUGUCUAAACUUUGUUAGUGUUGUUUCUUUGCUAUUCUUUUACCCUUCUUGGUCAGAGCGAUGUAGUGAGAGUUGCAAGCUUCACGUGUCUCGACUUUGUCAGAGAACUUUGGCAAAGUUAUAUGUGGUACCCAUGAGCUACUGUUGCGUGUGGGAAGUGGGUGAUUGAACAGUACGAUUCCUGUGCUUUCUACUUCGCCAGAAAUCUUCGAUAGAAUGCCCAUAAUUUCCGCAAAGCUGAGUGUGCGUGUGACAGGUGCUGACAAGGCUGGAAAAGUAGUCUCAACUUUGUCAGAGAACUUUGGCAAAGUUAUAUAUGUGGUACCCAUGAGCUACUGUUGCGUGUGGGAAGUGGGUGAUUGAACAGUACGAUUCAUGUGCUUUCUACUUCGCCAGAAAUCUUCGACAGAAUGCCCAUAAUUUCCGCAAAACUGAGUGUGCGUGUGACAGGUGCUGACAAGGCUGGAAAAGUAGGUGCCUCUUCGAUUUCUGAGAUUGACCCUCGUGGUCUCUGAGCAGCCCAGCUUUUGAGAAAGCAAACCUCUUCGAUUUCUGAGAUCGGCCCUCGUGGUCUCUGAGCAGCCCAGCUUUUGAGAAAGCAAACCUCUUCGAUUUCUGAGAUCGGCCCUCGUGGUCUCUGAGCAGCCCAGCUUUUGAGAAAGCAAACCUCUUCGAUUUCUGAGAUCGGCCUUCGUGGUCUUUGAGCAGCCCAGCUUUUGAGAAAGCAAACGCCUCUUCGAUUUCUGAGAUCGACCAUCGUGGUCUCUGAGCAGCCCAGCUUUUGAGAAAGCAAACGCCUCUUCGAUUUCUGAAGCUUCGUCGAGUGCAGAUUUUUAUAGAGGCUGACAUUAAGUUCCAAAGCACACUUGAAUAUCCACCAGUAGAAGCUCCAUUCUUGCACUUCUAAGAUCUUGAUUUGUCCGACCUCUUCUCUUUUUUCUACACCUUUGAAAAUGUCUGGCCCCUCCGACCGUCGUUUUGACUUGAACCUUGUUGAAGAGGCAGCCCCGCCUUCUCCAGACAACAUAUGGCGCCCAUCCUUCGUCUCCCCUACUGGUCCUCUUACCGUUGGGGAUUCCGUGAUGAAGAAUGAUAUGACCGCUGCGGUAGUGGCCAGGAACCUUCUCACUCCCAAAGAUAACAGACUACUUUCCAAACGGUCUGAUGAGUUGGCUGUUAAGGAUUCUCUGGCUCUUAGUGUUCAGUGUGCAGGUUUUGUGUCUAAUAUGGCCCAACGCCUAUUUGCUCGAACCCGCCAAGUUGAAUCAUUGGCGGCUGAAGUGAUGAGUCUCAAACAGGAGAUUAGAGGGCUCAAGCAUGAGAAUAAACAGUUGCACCGGCUCGCACAUGACUAUGCUACAAACAUGAAGAGGAAGCUUGACCAGAUGAAGGAAUCUGAUGGUCAGGUUUUACUUGAUCAUCAGAGAUUUGUGGGUUUGUUCCAAAGGCAUUUAUUGCCUUCGUCUUCUGGGGCUGUACCGCGUAAUGAAGCUCCAAAUGAUCAACCUCUGAUGCCUCCUCCUUCUAGGGUUCUGUCCAGUACUGAGGCUCCGAAUGAUCCCCCUCCGGUGCCUUCUCUUUCUGGGGCUCUACCGACUGCCGAGACUUCUCCUAAGCAACCUUUGUGAAGGCUCCCUCUUGUUUGUUUAUUUUGACUCAAGUAUAUGUACAUAUUUGUAAUUUAUCGGGGAUAUCAAUAAAUAAGCUUUCCUUCAUUUCAACGUAUUGUGUUAAAUCACCAAAGCCUUUUUCGCUAAGUUCUUUGAAUUUUCUUUUGUUGAAGCUUGUAUGUUGAAGCUUUGUGAGUGGAGCAUGUAGGUUGAGGUAGUGUUCCCUUAAUUUCCCGAGCGAGGACAACUUCUCGGUUGGAGACUUGGAAAAUCCAAGUCACUGAGUGGGAUCGGCUAUAUGAAUCUUAGAACGCCAUUGUGUUCUGUCCUGUGUCAUGUCCUCCGUUAGAUCCAAGUACUCUAAGUCUUUUCUUAGGGUCUCUCUCAAAGUUUUCCUGGGUCUUCCUCUACCCCUUCGGCCCUGAACCUCUGUCCCAUAGUCGCAUCUUCUAAUCGGAGCGUCAGUAGGCCUUCUUUGCACAUGUCCAAACCACCGUAACCGAUUUUCUCUCAUCUUUCCUUCAAUUUCGGCUACUCCUACUUUACUCCGGAUAUCCUCAUUCCUAAUCUUAUCCUUUCUCGUGUGCCCACACAUCCAACGAAGCAUCCUCAUCUCCGCUACACCCAUUUUGUGUACGUGUUGAUGCUUCACCGCCCAACAUUCUGUGCCAUACAGCAUCGCCGGCCUUAUUGCCGUCCUAUAAAAUUUUCCCUUGAGCUUCAGUGGCAUACGGCGGUCACACAACACGCCGGAUGCACUCUUCCACUUCAUCCAUCCAGCUUGUAUUCUAUGGUUGAGAUCUCCAUCUAAUUCUCCGUUCUUUUGCAAGAUAGAUCCUAGGUAACGAAAACGGUCACUCUUUGGUAUUUCUUGAUCUCCGAUCCUCACCCCUAACUCGUUUUGGCCUCCAUUUGCACUGAACUUGCACUCCAUAUAUUCUGUCAAAUCAAAUAAAAUAAAAAUGAAAAAUGAUUUCCAUGGCAAUGCUGACGUACUAGUGCAAUGAUGGUCUUGGCCUUAAAUGCAGUUGCCAUUUGCCAUUUGCCAGUCGUCUGUGUCUCCUCAUAAAUUCUCUCUUUCUCUCGUAUGCAUAUUCCUACGCAUACAUAUAUAGGGUAUUUUUCAAGAGAUUACAUUUAUAAAUUAAACUAUGUAAAUUAAAUGAUAUAAAAAUUGAUGAUUAGUUGACUAAUUUUUUACAAAUUUAGUCUAAAAUUUAGCCUACAUAGCAUUAUUUAUAUACAGGAAAUGAUCCUCAUUUUUCAAAAAAAAUAGAGAUACCCUCUUGACCGUUAGAUUUGACUUUAAUGCAAUUCUGUGAUUGAGAUUAAAUCACAGACCACAGAAUCUCAACUACAUAAUUUCAUUAAAGCUAAAUCUAACGGUCAAGAUGAUGUUCCCUUUUUUUUUUUUUAAAUGGGGAUCCCUUCUCUUAAAAGCUUCAUACUUUUACACACACACACACACACAUAUAUAUGAUAAUGUUAUGAAGACUAAAUUUUUAAACUAAAUUUUAUAAAGUAAAUGAUGUGGUUGUUCAUAAUUGGAUUAUUACUUAAGUCUUGAUUAAUGUGCUCAUUUUUUAUUUAUGCCACAUCAUUUAGUUUACAAAUUAAUUUAAAAUUUUAAUUUCCCUAAUAUUACAUAUAUAUGGGUGUGAAAUAAUCCAUUUAUCUGUCUAUCUAAUCCUCGGAUCUAUCUAUCUACUCUUAUGACCUAUUAUAUGUGAAUAUGAUCUAAUAUGUAUUCAUCAGCGAUUAGGGGUACGUACUUACUAUAAUCCUCUGACGCUUCUUGCACUCAUGCUAUUGCAAUACUGCAUUAUAGUCGGAUGCAGUAUUCAUCAUAUCAUGUACGUAGAUAUGCAUGCAUAUGUGUAUAUGCUAAGUGCUAACCUAUGUACGUAUUUACAAGGGCUUAUAAUAUUUGGUCCACUUUUGUAACAUUAGUUUGGAUCUGAUCUAUUUAUUCAUUUUAACACAAAAAAAUGGGGUCUAGCUAAAUAAAAACCUUGCCACCUAGAUUAUCUAGUUAUGUUUGAUAUUUUCUAAUAUUACUAACCAGCCGCUCGACCUAAACAGCAACCUCCUUCCUUCAAUCCCUAAUUAAAUCCUUGCCAGCGUUUACUUCUAACUCUAACAUUACAAAUUACAUGUCCUAAACCUGCUCCCUCCCUUCAUAUUUGUAAACACCAAAUUAGUGAACCUGUGUAAUAAGUUAUAAAAAUCAGUGAACCAGCUGUGCCGAUUCUAUCAUUACUUAACGUAUAUUCCUAUAAUUAGUGAACCUGUGGGCUAGAGUUGUGUCCCCAAUUAAGGUAAUUGGAUAUGUGGUUUUAAAUGGUUUUGAUUGUGAAAGUGCCUUUUUUUUAUGAUUUACUUUUCUGCUUUAGUUGGUGAACCUAAGCACGUGAAACUUCCUUGUUAGUGAACCUAUCAUCGUUAAUGGCCCUAUCAGCGUGGUCUACCAAGUAACACUUGUUAGAGUUUUGAGAUUUUUGUCCCACAUUGGAGAAAACAAGAUUCUCAAUGACCUUUAUAUAUGUUUUGUUCUUUACAAUAUUAGUUAGGUGUUUGAUCAUUUGGAAUGGGGAUUGAGGCUUGGGCCACCAUUUGUGAAUAUUGGGCUUGAUGAUUAUACCAUAAUAUUAAUAUUAAUUAAUCAAGACAAGGGCCUAAUAAUUAAAAUUAAUCUGAUCAAUUAGUUUUAAUUUUCGAAUUAAGUUUUUAAUUAAAAUUAAUUAAAAACGUUUUGAUUAAUAGACACAACUAGAGUUGUAUAGUUCAGAUACAUCGAAAAGGUAUUUGAAGAUGUAUGAAAUAGCCUAUAUAACUAAAGUCCUCAGUUCCAUUCCAUAUCAUCUUUUCUUCCUUCUUUCUUCUGUACGAAAUUUUCAGAGAGUAAACACACAAAGCAAAUUCGCUAGAAUUCUAGAAUCCAAGAAAUAUUGUUCGAAUGACAUAGCUAUUACGCUAGCCUCUACCUUCUGUAAUCACGUUAGUACCAUUGAUAUUCUUGUUUUUAUUUCUGUAUUUCAUUUUGCACAGCAAGUAUUUUGAUUAAUAAAUAUUCUACAAUUUCGAGUUCUGUUAUUUUGUAUUUAUUUCUGAAUUAUUCUCCAACAACACUUUUAUGCAUGGUUUAUUCCUUACUCAAAGCUUGAUGCAAGUUAGGUUAGACCAUUGUCGAAAUUUUGCCGUGUUGUAUUGAGGAUGAGGAACCAAAUCAGAAUAAUUCAUAUUUCAUAUAGAUGUGCAUGACGUGGUUUUUGGAGUUAUUUAAACCAUAUUGCAAAGGGAUGUCAUCGAAAUACCAUAAGAGAUCAAGUUUACUCAACACUUGAUCUUGAUGAACAGACCCAUUUUCGCUAGUCCCCCAAUAAGAGUACCAAAGGAGCACAAAUUAGGAGAGUGUAAACAUGCUAACCAAAGCAAACCAAAACUUUCAUAUAUGAUACCUCUAAUCAAGGUCCGAAGCACAUGAACAACAAAGUCUAAAUAUACUAAUAUGCAUAUGUACAAUGUCUCAAUAGCUUAUAAACAGUGAAAGUCAAAAGAGUUAAACAAAGAGACAAAGUACUCAAAAUCAAGAGCAUUAAGAUCGUGUAACCGUGCAUAAAUUUAACACAAGAAUUUAGAUUUCUAAAUAUAGCCUAAUGGUAUAUAGCGUACUCGGAAAAAAAAAUACAAAACACAUCUUUAAAAUUAGGCUAACACUGUCACUAGUACUAGGGUCUAGUGGUAUUCUGCACUUGUGUAAAGGUUUUAGGUUCGAUUCUCGCCAAAGGCAAAUUUAAACCACAAUAUUGCUAGCCUAUUAUGAGGCUUAUCCACUCUCCACCCUUUAGUAUAGAAAAUAUCAUUUUUUUUUUUAAAUUAGGGUAACACAUUAUCAUAAAAAUAAGAAAGCCAAUAGACCUGGAUUGAUAUGCAUAAACUUCAUGAUAAAUCUAAUAAUUGAUGACAAACUAAAUUGGAUCUAUUUAUAACUAUCUCGUAUUUAGGCGUGGAUUUAAGAUGGACCUUAUUUGAAGUAUAAUUGUGGUAAUUAAGGAUGCUUGAUCGUUUAAUUAACUAGCUAAGACGACAUAAUGCAACACAGGGCACCAAUUUGCAGUGUAUAUAGAUUGCUCUAGUUGUUAUAUACAUACCAGCAGUACUGUUAAAAAAAGGACCUGAAGGACAAAUGGAAUUAUAUAUAUAUAUUCAUUAAUUGAUUCAUUAGAUCUUAGACUUCAAGAAGCAGAGUUACAUAGAAAUCAAGGGGGAUUAGAAGUUGUCUAGGAAUCGCCUCGAUGAAAUAAUUGUGAAUGUGAUGGUGUGAGUUAACUCAAGCUCAAGAUGGCCUAGACGAUAUAUGAAUGGGUGUGGUUGACAUGAGGCUUUUCGUGUCAAUAGUACAAGGACCAGUUGGGGUGUGGUCGGGAUCGGGGUCGGGAGGAACAAAAUGUUCGGCCACACAAAUAUCUAAAGUUUAAGUUAAUAUAAAUAGCAACAUUAUAUUCGAAUAUGACUGAAGAAUAAAAUUACAUAGUUAAACACGACAAAAAUAAAAAAGAAAUUCAAGACCUACACUUACGUCUUGUCUAACUUCCCCAUUUUCCGGAAAAAAAAAACAUUUCCACUUUUUUAUUGAUAAUUUUGCAACAAAGAAUGCAUGGAGAUCCAUCUAUAAGUGAAACUUUAAUGUUGUACUUUUUCCAGGUUUUGUUCAUUUGGUCUCUUAGGAAUUAAGAUUGAACUAAUUGUUGAUUAUUUAGUAAUGAUUAUUUUUGUAGCUUUCUUUACUUAUUAUGUAAUGAAAUUUGGAAACUCAUAAUUAGCAUGAGUUUUAAAGUUUGUUUGAGUUUUAAUUAUUGCUCUCUAGUAUCAAUAUAAUAGAUAAUAAAUAUUUUUUAAAAAAAAUUGGAAGACUAUCUUAAGAAGGCUCCUUCAUAAAUUUAGCAUAUGGCCUCCGAAAUUUCAAAGAUGGCCGUUUCUUAAUUUGUUUCCACAUAUUCUACUUUUGUUAUUGGGUUAGCCAUACACUUUACAUAUUUCUAACGAUUCAUAUGACAUCAUCAAAUAAUUCAAGUCUUGGAUAAGAAUAUACAAUGCACUAGAAUGUCCUCGUUGGCAAUCCUUGUAUUAAUUGAACGGAAUGUCACCAUGUCGAUUUGCCUAUGCCAUACAAGUCCUUCUUAAGAUAAAGGAGCAAAUGGAUAUAUUUCGAGAGAAAUAUUAGGAAGAUGAGAUUAUACCAUCUCUUUAAUAAAGAUGAAAUAUAUUUGUAUUGGUGAGCUCUAUUUUUAUUUUGAAAAUAAUGUAAUGUGGUUCACCAAAAUAUAGUCCCUCUAACAUUUGCAGUUUGCACGACUAUUUUUUUUUCUUUCAAAUAUCUAUUUUUCUAGUGGAGGAAAGAGGCAAAUCAUAUCAGUAUAUGAGCAAGCAAACAAAUUGUAGAAAGGUGUAGAUAUUUAGCAUUUAUUCCGGGUUGUCCCUCUGCCUCAGGCUCAACGCGGUGAAAUAAUAACAACCCAUUAAAGCACGAAUGGGAUCCCCAUGUGUAAUUCAAGGACAAAUCCAUCCAGUAUUUACUACUCAAUGCCUAACACAACCCUUUUGCAGUUAUUGGACAGUGCCAACUCCAACACUAUUCUCUCCUCCUUCUCUCCUCCUCCUCCUCCAUGCAUCCCCAUCAGACUCUCUCUCUCUCUCUCUCUCUCUCUCUCUCUCUCUCUCUCCAGUAGCCAGGUCGGCAUGAAUAUGAGAUGACUAAUCAUCAGCCCACACUGAUCAAUCAGCAAGUAUUAUUCCAGGCAGCGCAGGCAGGCAUCAGCAGGGCAGGGCCUUGAGUCUUGACUAUUCUCUCUUUCUCUUGUACCAUUUACUUAAUUCAAUGUCUUGACUAUUCUCUCUUUCUCUUCUUGGAAUUUGGCCUCACACCCUUUCCAAUAUUUAUAUUAUAAUACAUACAUACAUACACACACAUAUAUAUAUAUAUAUUAUAAUAUAUCAAACUUCCAUUACAAAACAAACAAAAAGAAAGAAUAGGUAGGAGAUAGAGAAAAAAGGGAAAAAGAACAUUUCCUCAGUGGCAGCAACACCUGUUACAUCUUUUUCUUCCCCGCUUCCUUAAUUUCGUGCCUUUUGUCCCCCCUCCAAACUCCCAACUCCCAACUCUAAACCCUUGCCUUCACUCUUCAAGGAACUAACGACUUAAUAUUUACUCUGUCUUUUUCUCAAUAUACUAUCUAUAUAUACAUGUUAAAUUUGGCAUCUGCAUAACUAAUCGACAAUAUACAGUGAAUGGUACUACUUUUAAUUGCAUCGAGCUUCUUACAGACAAUAUUGAUGUGGUUAACACUAAAAAUGCUAACCCAUCUCUCUCUAACUUUAACAGAAAAUCAAAGAGGAUUGAUUAAAUAGGAUCGAGUUAGUGAGUAUUUACUUUUCUUUCCUUGCUUGAAGUAUUGAGUCUGGUUGCACACAUAGUUAGCAAAAUACAGAACAGGUAAAGUACGUGAAAAAAAUACAUAUGUGUAUUAUUCGGCCAUUGAGUUUGGCCAUUUUUUUAAAAUUUGAUUUUAUUCAAUAAUAUGUUAAAAUAUGAGUAAAAUGCAUGAAUUUUAUAUGUAUUAUUAAAAAAAUUAUGAAAAUAACAUGUUUUAACGUGAAAAGUGCGAACAUAUGUGUAUCGUACAUUAGAUUUUUAAAAAAACGUGUCAUUUAACGAAUCAAUAAUACUUCUAUGGAAAGUAGCUUUUUUUUUUUUUUGAAAAAUACGUACGACAUGUACAAAACGCAUAUUAUACGUGAAUUUACUUACUAUCGUUACACAUGUGGCUCACAAUGUGGUCUCACAAGAGAGGGCUUGUUGAAAUUUUAAAAAUCUCACAUCGGAUUUUAGCAUAAUAAAUAUGGGAAUUGUUAUUAGCACUUCAAAAAUCUCAUUCUACACUCCAAACUUUCUAUAUUAGGAAAGAAAAAUACAAGUGUAGAAUGAGAUUUUUGGGGUGCUAAUAACACUUCCCUAAAAUAUAAUACAUAAACAAAAAGUUCCUAAUAGCACCAACGUCUUUUUGUAAUAAAAACUUUAUACUUGUAGAGUUGUACUGACGGUAAAAUGCAAGUAAAGAGACCAUAUUAGAGCAAUUCCAUCCCUAAAACUUUGCAUCAGCACCCAGCCCAUUUAUUCACUCAAGUGAACAAUAAUAGACCCCAGUAAACAAUAAUAGGCCAAAGCAUCUCCACCCCUAAAAAAAUGCGCUGGCACAAACGAUCUCCACCCCUACAAAAUGCGCUGGCAUCCAGCCCAUUUAAAAUAUUUUAUAUUUUUUAAAAGAAUAAAUAAAUAAAAUAGCUUUAAUUUCGGAUAGGAUUUUUAACCAAUCUCGUCACGCCACGUGUCAUUACUAUUUUGUGAAUAGAUUUCCGUUAAGAUUUUCAACCAAUCCCGACACGCCACGUGUCACUUCCUGUUUACAAUAAUUUAACCCAUAUUUCGAUAAGAUUUUCAAUCAAUCUUGUCACGCCACGUGUCAUUAUCCGAACGUACUAUUUUGUGGAUAGAUUUCUAAUAAGAUUUUCAACCAAUCCCAAAGUGCCACGUGUCCUUCCUGUUUACAAUAAUUUAGCCAAGAUUUUGAUAAGAUUUUUAACCAAUCAUGUAGUGCCACGUGGCAUUGUCCAUAACCUCAUCCUUUCUUUUUUUGUCCAUAUAAGCCCUACAUCCCUACAUCUAUUCUCACACCAAACUCAAUCCUUUUUUUUAGCUCAGAAUCCUUCUUCAUCGUUUCCAAAUCUUGAGUGUAAGGUGGAAGAUGAGGGUUAGAUAUUUAUAGAAAUUUUUAUAAUUUUUAAUUAGUUUUUAAUAAAUUUUAAUGUAGUUAAUUAAUUUGGACCGUUGGAUUUGAAAAAUAUUCAAAACCACAGCCAACGAGCUGCCACAUGGCCAAUGGUCAUAAUUUUGACCGUUGGGCCCUUUUUUUUUUUGUUGAGGAAAAAAAGUGGACCGUUGAUCUGUGAUCAAACGGACUAGUUUAAAAGUCAAAUUCAAAUUUUUUUAACCUUUGGAAAUCCAACGAUCUAGAAAAACUAACCGUUGUAAAUCCAACGGUACAGAGAGGGCCACGUCACCGAGCUCGGAUGAAUGGUGAGUGCGUCUGCCAGCGGGCCCGGUCACCUGCUUUCUUGUCUCUUACUCGCGCCAAUGCGCGAGUGAACGCCACACGCCAACCAAAUAGGCCAAUCCUUUGGUCAGUAAAAAAUGGGUCGGUCUAUUGCCUGGCUUGGGUUGGUCUAUUGCCUGGCUUGGGUUGGGUGCCAGGCAAGUUUGUGGGCUGGAGUGGAUUGACUGAUCCCUAGCCUGGUUUUUGGAUUGGGUGUUGGCACACUUCCCCUCCGGUGGAAGUGCUCUUAGUAGGGAACCAAUGACCCUUUCUCUGAAAUCUUGAAAAUGAGUCCAUAAAAUAAUUUUGUAGUCUUUUUUACUAAAAUUAUAGUUGAAUGUAAGAAGGGAAAUUUUAUUUGAACUCAUGUAACCUCUUUCUACACCCAACUUACUCUCUUCACCCAUAUUGUUUUUUAUUAAAGAAUUAAUCUCUCUUUAAACCCAAAAUUUAUUACCAAAACUACCCUCUCAAACCCAAUUCAUAAUGUUAAGUUAUCUUUACACCCAUCACCUUUAUAAAAUAACAUUUGUAAUUGAAUAAAAAAAUUAAAAAAAAGAGACGUCCUUGCCUCCACCUCCUCUUCCCACUAGCAUUUCCAUGGCUACUUUUUUUUUCUUUCAGCUACCAAACCCAAACAUUUGCCUUUUUUAUUUCUAUUGAUGUGCAUAAGCAACAAAUCAAACAAUUCAUCCCCUUAUCUUUAUCAACAAGCAAGGAAGUUUAUAAUCUAAGAAUAUUGGUAAGAAGUUUUUCCUUAGAAUUUUCCAAUUGUCGAAAGUUUAAUAAACCAUUCGGGAUUGAUGAAAAAAAAUUGAAAUCAAACGAACAAAAUAUUUAUAAAUUGAGUCAUACCUUAGUUGGAGGAUUCAAAACUUCAAAAUCACCAUCCAUCAAUAAAAAAAAAGUUUGUUUUUCUCUACAAGACCUAUUAGGAUUUUAGCUAGAAUGAACGUAGGAUAAACAAGAAGUGAUGAUAGGGUUUAAUGGGUUUAUUGAUAAAUUUGAAUUUUAUUAUUAAUUUUAUUUUGUUCUUAAUAGUAAUUAUGCAAUAGGAUAAAAUAGAUAAUUAACAAUUUAAAUUUAAGUUAGGUAUAGAAAGAGGUUACAUGGGUUCAAAUAAAAUUUCUUAUGUAAGAAUUCAUGGUUGAGCACUUGAGCUACAAUAUAUGUGCAUGGAUCGAAUUGUAACUUAAUAUAUAUAGAGGAUAAUGAUUUGAGUCACGCCAAUUGGAGGGGAUAAUAUUCGCUAUAUUCAAGUUCGAUGACCCUUUAUUUUUCUAUAAAUAGAGUAUUUUAUUAUAUUAUAUAUCGUCGAUGACCCUAUUUAUGUUCACUUUUAACUUCAUCUAAUUUGCUUGCCUUUUUUUUUUUUCUAUCAGACUGGGAGGGUUGGUAUGGGCUCGACUGCUGUGUAGAUGCUACAAUAGAGUUCGAUUUCGGUUGCGGCUUCCUUGUAUGGUUUUUCUGUAUGGGCUUCUUGCGCAUUUGUUUACCCAAAAAAAAGAAAAGUAUUAAAGAUGAAAAGGAAGGGCAACUUCAAGCAGUGAGAGGCACUCACUGCAACAGAAAUUUUCUCCCGCCAAUUUUUUUUUUUUUUCCACAAGUGAACAGUUGAAAUUUAACUAAAUGAGAUUCAGUUAAAUCCCAACCCUUCUUUUUUGUCCUUUGAUGUACAGGAGAGCAAAGCACCUCAUUGUAAUUAUACCAGGACGACAAUUUCCGAGCCCGGAACAACAUUGAGUCCAAAUCGAGCCUCAUGUUGCUGAUCGUUAAUGAAUGACAUCUCUACUGCAACGCUUAUCACAGUGGGACUACAUGCGUUAUCUUGUUCUGCUCCUCCUGUUUGGGUGUCCUUUCCAUCCCCUCAUAUUUGUGUGGUCACGAUUAAGACACGUCAACAUUUUAUAUUCUUAUUGUUUUUUGUCUUAUUAUCUCUAUAAAAAAAUAUAUAAAAAUGCUGACGUGAUUUAACUCUGACCGCACAAAAUAGGAGGGAAUGGAAAGGACAUCCAAACAGGAGGGCAGACAAUCUGCCUCCAUAUAACAUUCAAAGCAUAUGACCAGGAAAAAUAGGUUAUUGAUUAACAAAUCAACUUGCAUUGGACCUACCUAGCUACUGUUAUCCCGCUUGAACUACCUAGCUUCGCAGACAUCUUCAGCCCUAAGAGAAACAUAUCUGUUCUCUGCUGUAUGAUGAACCAUCAGUUUGAAUGCUUUUCAGAUUCCAGAUCUUCAAAAAGAAAAUCACGUAAAUAACCAGACCAAGCUUACUCAUAUGCACAUUUAGAACACAAAAGAGGAACUGAAACCCACUUGAGGACAGGGUUGCAACUCAAAUAAAAGAAGCUGGAGGCACAAUUAAACAAAAUUUCCUCUUUCAGAACAAAUACUGAAGCUCCAACAACUCGCCUGAGCUUUAACUGCAUCUAAGCAAGUAACAUUAACCUUCAAAUAGCGUUUAAGAACAUAAAUCACAUCAAAAUCCAAACAUGAAAAAAAAUUAAAAGGCAUAAAAUUCAUAGUAAAACCGAAGCCAAAGACUGCAGCUAUUUUACCCCAUUGAUAUCAAGAUGGAGCAAAUGGGUACCCAGAAAAUAAGAGCACACUUGCAUGUUGCAAGGAAAGGGACCUAGUCCCCACUUUUCAGGGUCGUGCCUCUGGCUUAGCUAUGAAGUUACCCGAGUGGCCACUAAAAAAUUGAAAGAAAAAAAAAGUCCAAUCUUCAUUUUCUACAUGAUUGAGAAGCGGAGAUGUUUAACAAGCACCACGAACAAAACAAACUGCAAAGCUUCACCUUUAUUUCGCAAGUCUUCAUAGUAGCAUCCGCGUACCAAAAACCAGAUAACCUUUUUAGGCUUCUGCAAUCUCUAUUUCCCCCUCCUGUAGUUCCUUGACUGCUCUUAUAAGACCCCUUGUAAUCCCAUUGAGAUGCAACCCGUUAUCCUUCAUUUCUUCAAGCAAUUUCUCUGCUGUUCCCCAAUCCAAAGCCUUAAGACAGAGAGAUUGGAUCAACUUACUGUACUCAUCAACAUUAGGUUGGACCCCAAAAUGUUUCAUCUCACCCAAAAACUUUAAACCUUCGUCAAAAUCUUCCAGUUUGCAAAAUCCACGGAUAAUUGUAUGGUAAGUCACAGGACUCAGUUUAGGAUGCUUCUUUUUGGCUUGGGAUAAUAUUUUACAAGCCUCCUCCAUCAGACCCCCAUUUGCAUAACCACUCAUAAUAACAGUGUAAGUAUACACAUCUGGUUUUAACCCCCUACUCUCCAUUAGCUUCAUCAUCUCCAUUGCCUCUCCCGUAUCCCCAGCCUUAGAAUAGCCAUUGAUAACCAAAUUGAAAACUGCAUUUCCUGGAUGUGGGCCCUCCCUUGUCAUCUCAAGAAGCAAUUUUUUGGCCCCAUCAACAUCUUUUAUCCUGCACAAUCCUUGAACAACAGCUGAAAACGGCUUAAUCCCAUAUUUCCGUGCUUCUCCAGAUAAAUCACCCAAUAUCUCUAGAGCUAAAUUGACAGUUUCAUCCUCCCUACAGAGUGAACUGAUCAAAAGAUUAACUGGCGAGCGUGGCAGGUCCUGCUUCUUCACCUUCAUUGACAAAUAAACCAAAUGGGCAUCUUUAGCUUUUUUGCCCUUGCAAAACCAAGAUAUGAUCCUACCGACUCUCUCACCAUCAGGCAAGACUCCUGCAUCAAGCAUCUUCUCGCAAACAGACUGAGCCCAAUCAAAAAACGAACGCCUGCAGAGUGCUUCAAUUGUAAAGUAAUAUGAAUCUGCAUUCGGGACACAUCCAAAAUCAGCAAACUUGUUGAACACCUCAAAAGCAGCUUUCCCUUUACCCAAUUUUGAGAAUGAGGAUAUCAAUUCAUUGAGAAUUUCCAAAUUCAACAGAGUAUUUUCUUUCUCACCAAUCUCCUUAACCAAAUCCCAUAGAAAGUAUACAUCUCUCUUCCUAACAAGGCCACUACAUGUGGAUCGUACAAGCGCAUCGAGGACGUGAGUAGUGACUCUAAACUCGGGUUUCUCCUUCAAAGCCCAUUUAAUAAACCUAAUCAAAUUCUCACCCAAAACAAGCGGGGUUUCGACUAGUUUAACCACAAACUCAGAAUGCAGAGUCAAAUUUAAAGCAUCAAAACUAGACUCAAGACUCCCAUCAGCACUGCUCUGAAGGAGAGACAAUACACUCUCCAGCUGCUCCAAAUCAAUCUCAUAAACCUCUUGCCCUUUCCGCAACUCUACAUCAACACCCUCCGAACACUUUUCCUCCGCGUACCCAUCCCCAGGGGCAAGAUUGUCCGGCUGGGAAUCAACAUUUUCACCAAAUUCCACAGGGGCAGGUAGCUCUUCUCCUUGAGCGGAAUCAGAAUCCCUAGAGUUUUCUGAGAGCUGAGAGAAGAACCUAGGGUUUUGGAAUCUAGUGUAAAAAUGAGGAAAUUGAUCAACUAGAGGAGGAGUUAGUGUUUUAGAGGAAAGCACCUUGUGGUUUGGAUGAGCUGCGGACAGCAUCCGUGCCGCCGCCUGCGUCGAAAGGGACGCUGCUCUUGCUCUUGCUGUCACUGCAUACCUCCACAUGUCUAUCUAUGGAUCUGCUCGGCGUGCCGAAUUUACUCAACUCAAACAGUGAGCGACUGUGGGGUUCAUAUUCAAAAACCCUAAUCUCUAGGGGGAGACGGAGAGGAGAAGUGCAGAAAAUGAAACGUGGGCUUAUGCACUCGGGUACGACCCGUAUAACUAACUGCUUCCUCGUCGGGUUCUGGACAGCUAAGUUUAAAAUGUUGGGCCGUUGGCCCAGCAGUUAUAACAUUAAGAUUUCAUUUUUCAAAUCCGUUCUAGUCUCCACGUGGUCACAUCGAAGUCCAUCUUUGGGUUAUUAUAGGGAGGGACAAGCCGAACACAAUUAAACCAUUACAAAUCUCCGCAGCGAAACAAUCUUAGCAUUAUAUGCGGCGUCGCGGUUCCCUUGUACCUUCUUGUUUUUCCUUCUGUUAUUGCUGUUGGUUGUUUGCCUCUUGGGUAGGUUUUCUUGUAUCUUUUUGGCAUCUUUGCCCGGAUAUAUCUUAUCUGCUUUCCAAAAAAUAAAAAAAACAAUCCAAAAUUACGUUCAAGUUGGGGAGAUGAUUCCUGCACGCCCUAUCUAUUUUUAUCUCCUGAUUCUUAAGGUUACCCCAAGUUAACCAUUUUAGUUCAAAGCUCGGAAGGCGGCGGCCGAUAUAGGGUUCCAUUGUAGUAGGCAGAUUAAAAGAAACACAGGGAGAAACCGUGAAGAAAGAAAGAUCAUGAAACAAUUAAGUUAAUCGAAAAAUGACAACAAACUUAAGUAUCCAAGUUAGUUACCAGCAAAGACCUUAAUUAGACAGAAUAUACAACAUUACUUGCAGUUUCAGAAACGCUUCCUUGCUUUCUAAGCACUAAGGGUAUUUCAACCUACAAGAUCCGACUAAAAUACCUUCAGCCCUGUUCAAAUUCAUAAAUCCCGUGACAACAAAUUCUACAAACAGUAAACGAGCAUCGGAUGCUGGAUCUUUUUACAAGGAGUAUUAAUUCAGAUGUAUGACUGACAUAACUAUUGAGCAUUGAUAAAAACUCAUUCAGCUUCAAGUUCGGCACCAAACUGCUCUAACCUUGCAGCAUCCUCAUCCAGAUUCCGGACAGAAGCAUGGUUAACUAAACCAUCAUCCUCACUUGCAUGUACUUGUCUACCGCCAAACCUAAAUGAACAUAAUAAUAAUAAUUAAAUGUAGAACCAAAAGAAAAUGGGAAGACUAUAAUCAUUGGAAAUCUACAAAAUAAACAAUUAAGUUCUUAGUGGCGAGAAAUUUUUCAAUGUCAUGACAUGUGGUGUACCAGCUCGUACUUCCGAGCACACUGAAAAAUCUCCCACAGCAGCACCAUCUACCCAACCUUACACAAUAACUGCAAUUGUAAUUUAGUAAACACACAAUAUUGAUUACCAUCGCCCAUUCAUCAUUUCUAUGCACUUCUGAGCAUCAUUCCUAUCCUUGAAUCUGACCACAACAACUCCCUGGGGAUGAUUCUCACAAACCUACAAAGAAAACAAAAUGGGAACCUGAGGAUAUUAGGAAAGGGAAAAGAAAGAGGAACAUACAUAGACAUGUAUACACAUAUCACGGAGAAAUUCUGAAUGCCAUUCUUCAUCACACACAUGAAGGGUAUAUUACCUUCACUGAGUCCACCGGACCAAGCUUCACACAUUCCUCCUGAACAUCCGCCUGCAAUUCUGGACCUAAAUUUUCAUCUGCCUGUAAACAUUAUUUAGGAGAAAGGUUACCAGAACAGGAUCAGAAUAAUAAAAUACCCUUCUCGCAAGGCUUUAUAUAUUGAGAAAGUUGUUGUGCAAAUAAACAUCACCAACUAUUGAUCCGUUGAUACCUGAUACGCAGAAGGAAAAAACAAGUUUUCCAACAGCAUAGACACUACAUAUAAUCUGUUAAGACAGCUAUCAACUUACCCUCAUUUCAGCAGGAGUGAACAUGUAGCGAAGAAUAACAGUAGCUGGAAUUGACACCUUUCCAUCGUCAUGGCCGGCUGUAAGAAAAUGUGAUCAUACUAUUAGUGUUGUAGAGCACAUAAGGUACUUCAUGCCAAAAUUUAUGACAGAAAAUGUCCAGCAGGUUAUGAAGCAUAGGCAUAUGCUAAUUAUCCACAGACAUUCACGUCAGGUUCACAUUAUGCUUCACUGUAAAAUCCGAAAUACAAAGAAACUACUUGUGAAACAUGGGAAUAUCUAUAUGAUCCGCAAACAUUUCCUUAUGAUUAAAACAAUGAACACACUGCGGGCAGAAGAAAAAGUAGUUUGUAUUUUAAAAUUCAAGAUGUAGAAGAAUUUCUAUAAUAUAUGUCAUAUGAUAUGAUAAAACAAAAAGGCAUAUUAUUAUUCACAAAAGAAAGGGAACAACUGACUGCAAAAGCUACACAUACUACAUUUGGAAAACAAGAAUAGAAGCUUCAAGCAUAAGUGGAAAGGAAUCACAAUAUGAGGUAUUCCUUCACCGGAAUAAAGAUAUCUAAUGCAAGAAGCUUUCUGUUUACGAAUCAGCAUGAAAAAUAAGGUUAAGUAAGAACACGACUAAUAUUAAUAUAUGAACCUACCCCAGCCAAGCAUCUUCUCUUCCACUUUCUUCAGUUUCUUUUUCCUCUUGUUGUCUGCUUGUUUGGUAACAAAUGUGUCCCCUGCAUACAUAACAAAAGCUUUUAAAUAAAACAGAACACACUUGAAAGCUCAUAAUCUAAGGCAUGCUAUUGAAAAUGUUUCUAAUACUGUGUUGAUGAUGUUUUUAAGUGGUUCUCUCAUUUGUAUAUAACGUAGCAAAUAUUUUAAAAUCUCACACUAAAAGUACAAGACAAAAAAAGUUCAACAAAUAUCAUCUGACUACUAACAAUUACCUUUUUGCUGAAACUUGGCUUGGGUGACCGACAUAAGAACCUUGCCACCAGGGCGUAGAGGUGUUCCGUCCAAAAUUUGGGUAGCCAAAACAACCGAUGGUUCCUAUAGUUUACAAAAACGCAUAUAAUAAAAUACCCAGAAAUGACACGUUACAUCACAAAGACAGCAGAAGUAAUAAAAAGCAUUGUUACCUUCAUAUAAGUAACAAGUGCGUCUCCUUUUUUCUUUCCAGUUGCUUUGUCAACAUACAGCUUCACACGAGGUUUUUUUGUUUCAGGAUCCUAUAAAUUCCAUUGAGUAACGAGCUUAUAUGGUGAGUAUGAGAGCAGAUAUAUAUCAAUUAAGCUACACAGUGCUGGAUGUUUAACAAGGAACACAAAGUAUAAUGUUCACACUUAGUCUCAUGAUACGAUAACAAGGCCACUUUCCAUUAUAAUUUGACAAUAACUCUUUAAGAAAAAAGUCUAAGAAUUUGGUUGCGGACAAAUACUGGACUAAAAAAAAUCAUUAUGCAGAAAAUGAUUUAAAGCUAUAUAACCCUGUAGUUUUUUGCUCUAAUUCUCAGAUAAGUACAAUGCAUCUUUAAAAGUUUCCAUUCCAAAAGAUAUUAAUUCGCAUCAUUGAACCGUCUUAAAAAAUGGUACUAAUCAACAAAGUAACAACAUGAAUUGUAUGAAAAGAAGAAAACUUUACCUCCUUUAUGAUCCCACAUUUGGAAAACACCUCUACCACCUGACGAAUAUCACUGAAAUUAGUAGUAUGCCACAAUAAAUACAGAGAAUAAAACAAUGACGGGAACUUACUUCGUCGACUGUGACGUCAUCAGGCAAUCCGGUUGCAUAAACAUGCGUGUUGAUCUUCAGCUCAAACCAACUUUCAGGAGGUUUAUUAGCUUCCUGAAAAUACAAGUAAUAAGACAGGGGGGAGUCAACUGGUACUGCUUCAUAAAUCCUAUACACAUAGACCAUUUCCAGUCUAGACUAGCAUAACCAAAUUUAAUAAUAGGAUCCAAUCACAUUCCCCCAGAACAAUAGAGUUUGAUUAGUAGACUAUAAUAAAUAAAAGAUACACAAUCAUCAAAAGUAAAAGAACAAGAUAAAAAGGGCAAACCUUCUUGUCAGCUUCCUUAUCUGACAAUUUCCUCUUAGAACUUUGAUUGCCUUCUAACUCACUGCUACCAUUGAUAUCAUCUUCUUUAGAGGGAUUGGAAGCCUUUACAGGUGCAUUAACCUCUUCACUUGCGGUGGCUUCAGAAAAAUUGGCAGCUGGGAAAACUUCCUCUUCCUGCAAAAAAGUCAUAUCUUCUACCCCGAAAGCGCUAUCCUAUUAGACAUUAAAUCAGUCAAAUAUACAUUCAACAAAAACAAGCGAGACAGAUUUUCAAGUUUGAUAUCAAAAUUUUCCUAUUUAAUAAAAUUGGAAUACUGAUCUGUUCGACAGACCAUGGAAGGACACUCAGUGAAAUGUUCAGAAACGUGGUACCCAACAUUCUCUUCAAGGUUCGCCAAUGUGCAACCAGACAACAAAAAUCUACUUGUGUGCGUUCAUUGGCAUGCUACCAGAUAUACCAUGAACAGAAAAACCACCACAAACAAUAAAAUGAAAUAUAAGAAAAACAUAAGAAGGUGCAGCAACCAUGAACCAACCUGGGGAACCCAAGCCCUAAGACCCUGAUCCCACUUGUAUGUUGUCCCAUCAUCAUCGGUGAAUUCUUCCUCUCCCUCGGGGGGCGUAGAAGGUCUGUCACUAUCUGCUUGUUCUGCCUCGCAUACAUGCUUCUGCCAUUUGUCGAAGUCGUCCUCAUCAUCAGUUGGGAUUGGGGGCACUGCAAUAGAAGUGAAUAAAUUGUAAGUCGAGUAAAUCACGGAAGUGAUAAUCCCAAAUCCAAAGAAUAAAAAAGAACAAAGAAUUGACCUGCGGUUGAAACAUGAGAUACUUGGUCGUGAUGGGAUAUUGCAGUGACGAGGUCGGGAAUGGAGGAGAGUGGCUGCCAUGCGCUUCUUCCUUGAGCCCAGAUGAGCGUAUGGAGGGUGAGGUAGCCAUUUAAGAAAUGCUCUGUCCAGGCGAAGUAAGUAAGCAAAUUAGAAGUGCAAUUGAACAUGAUAAGUGAGACUGAAAGGGUGCUCUAUUCAAUUGAUUACGAGUAGACUGAAAUUCAGAAGAAGGAAACAAUGUGGCAGUAAAUUCAAUUUCCAUAUUCAACAUUACAUCGCAAUCGAGGUGAAUCACUAUUCUUUCUUCAUUCCACACAGACAAUUGAAUGUUCAUAUCAAUUGUCAUUAAUAAUAUUAUAGGUUGUAUAUAAUAUAAGGUGCUGCUAGGGUAAGGGUAGGGGUAGGGGUAGGGGUAGGGGUAGGGCAAGGCAAACAAAACAAACUCACCCCGCAGCUCCGAGAAUGCAUAGGGACCAACAUGCUGUUGAUUUUCGCCCAGAAUGAACCAUCCCACUUCGCUCAACUCUUCUUCCAUCCCCAAUCUUUUAUGCUCCCACCCUGCUGCUGCUGCAACUCCUACGAAUCAAACCAUAUCAAAUCACAUCAAAACCAUUUUCUUUAUUCUAUUCUUGCAUUGUAUUUGUACAUACAAUGUUAAUUAUAUGUAUAUAUUUAUACAAGUUCCAACUUCCAUGGGUUUUUUUGCUCAACAACGAUUAGGAUUGAGGUGAUUUUGCUCAACAACGAAAAUUACAAAAUAUAAAAAAUAUGCACGCCACGCACCCGAAUGAAUUUGCCGCGCUUGCUCUUCUUCUUCUUCUUCUUCUUCUUCUAGGUGGUGACUCUGCAAGUCCUUCUCCAACGUCAUCGUCUGUCUCUGCAACUCCGACUGACAGACCAAAUUGUAAUUGUAAUUGUAAUAUCUGUAAUAAUAAACUAAUUGGAAAAAAGAAUGGGAAACUUUGGGCUCUUUCCCAUCACUUGGGCCUAAUUGCUUCUUUCGGGUACAAAUUUUGCCAUCCGCCCCGUCUAA
Molecule: long non-coding RNA, 52067 nt
Filed under: Malus domestica (apple)
Lineage: Eukaryota; Viridiplantae; Streptophyta; Magnoliopsida; Rosales; Rosaceae
Description: long non-coding RNA (MDOM_LNC021165)
Source: RNAcentral